AGCCUGCAGGUGUCAACGUGGUGAUGAUAUUUUUCGUCACAAAUUCCACAUUGGCGGCAUUUGGUGCGCUACAAAGCACGGUGGGUCGUACGUGCUUCACUGAACAGGAAGGCAUUGAUUUCGAGGAGACUUUCAGCAUGGUGGUCAAGCCUGCCACUAUUUGUGUCAUCCUCAACAUUGCUACAGCGCAUUCUUGCCCCAUUCAUCAACUUGACGUCAAAAAUGCCUUCUUGCAAGGCCAUCUCAACGAGACUAUCUUUUGUGACUAGCCGGCCGGCUUCAUUAACUCCACUCGGCUUGAUCAUGUAUGUCUCCUUCAUAAGUAUUUAUAUGGCUUGAAGCAAGCCCCACAUAUAUGGUUCUUACGUUUUCAAAGCUUCAUCAUUUCCCUGAGAUUUUUCGCUUCCAGAUGUGACUCCUCACUUUUCAUUUAUCAUUGUGGUGCCAGCAUUGCCUAUCUCCUACUUUAUGUAGAUGAUAUCAUCCUCACCGCCAACACACGCUCCACACUUCACUCAAUUAUCACAUCACUCAAAUCUGAGUUCUCCAUGACCAACUUAGGCAACAUACAUCAUUUUCUUGGAGUCAUUACAUGCAAUUCAGACGCUCUCUUCUUGUCUUAACAACAAUAUGCCCUCAAAAUUCUUGGCCGUGCAAACAUGAUCAAUUGCAACUCUGCCCCCACGCCCAUUGACACUCUCCCAAAGCUCUCAUCCAUGUCCGGCUUGCCUGUUCCUGACACCACUCGUUACCGAUGCCUUGUCGGUGCACUACAAUACCUCGCAUUGACACAAUUGGACAUUCCAUAUGCGGUGCAACAAGUUUGUUUAUUCAUGCAUGACCCCCGUGAUCCACACAUGGAACUCAUCAAGUGUAUUCUACGCUACAAUCGCAUGACAUCUCAAUUUGGGUUUGAACUAUUACCCUCCACCUCACAUGAGCUUGUAGCCGAUUCCAACAUGCAUUGGGCAGGGUGCCCGGACACACGUCGAUCCACCUCGGGCUUCUGUGUUUUUCUUGGAUCCAACUUGAUCUCUUGAUCAUCGAAACGACAGCCCACAGUUUCUCGGUCGAGUGCAGAAGCGGAGUAUAGGGCCCUCGCACAUUGCAUUGCUGAAUCAUGUUGGUUGUGGCAACUACUGCAUGAAAUACAUCGCUCUCCAUUCCUCCAACACGCGACACAUUGGUAUAUUGUGACAGCAUCAGUGCGACAUAUCUCCCGUCCAAUCCGGUGCAACAUCAGCGUGCCAAAUAUGUGGAAAUCGAUCUUCACUUUGUUUGUGAUCGUGUUGCUCUUGGCGAGGCAAAGGUUCUAUGUACCAUCAAGCUUCCAGUUGCUGACGUUUUCACCAAAGGGAUUGCCUACCACGGUGUUCACCAGUUUUCGUCGUAGCCAGAAUGUCCUUCCGAGCGGCGUUUCGGCUGAGGGAGGGGGGUGUUAAACAUGUACCUGUGUUGUAUUUUACGUGGUCACUCGAUGUUGUACACGUUCCUCUUUUACAUGAUCUCAACGGACGUCACGCCUUGCCUGCCACUUGGAAGCUCGGUUAAGCUCCCCUACAUAUAAUACGUUGUAACUCUCUCUGAACAACACGACUCGAUCAUUAUUCAGUCUAGCUACAUUUGCAUCCCUGGAAUCCAUAUCGUGAAAAUGGUGAGAACUCAACCCUUUAAACAUGGAAUACACAAUUUUUUUGAAGAUCGUCUGACUUGGGAGAUCAAUAAAAGCAUCUACAGUCGGGCGCCUCAAACCCGCCUCAUACGCCCGGACGGACCGCUCGGUUCACGUUUUUUCGAUCCAGACGGGCUUCUUAAACGGGUCUCAAAUGUCCGGGCUGACCGGCACCCCUCUUAUGUUGCCUAAAUAUGGGGUUCCUGGACACGCCCGACACGUCGGGCCCGACAGCCCGACCCCACCCCAAAUUGCACAAAUUCCAUCAAACCCUUCCUCCUCCAGUCGCCCUCCAACAUUUCCCCCGCCCGAACCCUCGCCGUCCUCCACCCUUGCUCCCAAUCCUCACCACCGGUCCCGAUCGACCACCGGAGAUGUCGUCCAGCCCGACCCACACCGUCGCGAGGCGGCUGCGGCCCGGAUGCAGGCGGAGGAGGCAGCCCGGAUGAAGGCGGAGGAGGCAGCCCGGAUGCAAGCAGAGCAGAACGAGCAGGACACAUUUCGCCUAGAGCAGGACGCAUUCCGCUCGGAGCAGGCGCUCGGCCAGUGAUCCAAGGCCAUCCGUCAUGUUCGGACAUUGAUUUUAUUUUGCCAUGUCCGAUUUGUUGAACUAUGAUUUGUUUUGCUUUGUUUCAAACUUUGGAAUUCAUACAAUUUGUAUCGUAUGAUCGACGUGCAUGAAUUUCAGGAUCGAAAAUUACGGUAUGUGAAUGUGCGGCGCAACAUUUGAGGAAUGCCCGAUCAGGCGGACGCGUCCGCGGGCGUUUGAGGGGCCGGAUUUGCCAAGUCCGGUUGUAGAUGCUCUAACAGUUCUACCAAUUUGCAUCGAAUGAUGGACACGUGAGAAACCUACCCUUCCCACCAAGAAAGCCUCGUUGCUUUUCAUUCAAACUUAGGAAUCUUACUAUGCAAUUUGUGACUUACUGUUGUAUCAGCGCUCUACACAAUCUGCAAAGGAAUUAUUGAUGCGAUGUCGCAAUUUUGGUGGGGUGGCGAGGACAAUCAGAAGAGGAUGCAUUGGAUGGCAUGAUGGAAAAUGUGUGUUCCAAAAGAUCAAGGAGGUAUGGGCUUCCGAGAUAUACACUGUUUCAACCUGGCUCUAUUAGCUAAACAAGCGUGGCAUUUUCUUGAUAAUCCGGAAUCUUUAUGUGCAACCAUAUUGAGAGUUAAAUAUUUCCCUGAGGGAGAUUUGAUGAACGCAAGGUUAAAGAAGGGAUCUUCGUUUACUUGGCAAAGCAUUAUGGCGGGAGUGAACUCUUUGAGAAAUGGUCAUAUCUGGCGAGUUGGAAAUGGACAAAAUAUUGAUAUUUGGAGAGAUGCAUGGAUUCCGAAUUGUGCGAGUAGGAAAAUUAUUACUCCUAGAGGUGGGCAACUUCUGUCAAAGGUGGCUGAUCUUAUUGAUCCAAUCACGAAUUCUUGGGAUGAAGAUUUGGUGAGACAAACUUUGUGGCCAAUUGAUGUGCAAAGGGUCCUCGCGAUUCCCCUUACUAUGCAUAAUAUGUCGGAUUUCAUUGCCUGGAGCUAUACAAAAAAUGGUGUAUUCACUGUUCGAUCAGCUUAUUCGGAGGAAUGGAACCAACAACACGAGAGGAAAUUGCAAUAUACUAAUGGUAUGGUUCGUACCAAUGUCAAUCCUAUUUGGGGAAAGAUUUGGAAAUUAUCGUGUCCGACAAAGGUAAAAAUAUUUAUCUGGCGAACGUUGCAUGGAACUCUACCGUGUCGUGUUACACUUGCCAAUAGACAUAUGAAAGUUUCGCCCCUUUGUCCAUCAUGCUCAAAUGGGCAAGAAGAUACAAAACACAUCUUGUUUUUGUAUGAGAAGGCAAAAGAGGUUUGGGUAAGCUGGGGAUGUACGAGGUAAUUAAGAAAGCUUGUGUUAUUGAUCGUGCGGGUGAGGCGGUUCUUGAAUUCUUACUUCUUAUGCUGCACCAAGAACUAUCUAUAUUAGGAUGCCAGAAUGCAAGUGAAUUAAUCGCGAUAACCGCUUGGUAUUUAUGGUGGGAGAGACGCAUGUUGGUUCAUGAAGGAAAGUCUCAAGAUGUGAACCAGAUUUCGAUGGGGGUUCGUGCUAUAACGGCAAACUAUGUGAAUGCCCACUCCCCUAGUGGGUCUAGUAGAAAAGAAGGAUGGAGCCGACCUCCUAUGGGUUUUAUUAAACUAAAUGUUGAUGCUUCUUUUGACCAUGAUCUGUUCAGGGGCACGGUAGGUGCUGUACUCAGAGAUGACAAAGGAAAAUUCAUUGUUGGCGAAAAUAGGAAGAUCGAUUGGUGUGCUGAUGUACUAACAGCAGAAGCGAUGGCUCUGAGGUUUGGUUUAAUUCUUGCACAAAAGGCGGGAUGCAAUCGUCUUAUUAUUAACUCUGAUAAUAUGAAAGUCAUUGACACAAUGAAAAAUGGAGGACAAUCGGCGGGAGUUGCGGCGGCAGUAUUCGAGGAUUGCUACUUCAUGGCAUGUGAUUUUCCGUUGACUAGAUUUGAACAUUGUAAUAGGAUAGCUAAUAAGGUUGCUCAUGAACUUGCUAGGCUAGCGAAAGUUUCUGUAACUAGAGAUUGGUUUGAGGAGCCUGUGGAGAAUAUUGUACCUCUUUUUAUAGACGAUGUAACCAUUAUUUCCAACCAAUAAAGUGCAUGUUUUCUUUAAAAAAAAAGCACUCUACACAAUCUUGCAUGGAAUUCCCAACAUACAAAUAUUCUGGCAGAAGAUACUAACAACUUGUGAUGGUUCCAAGUAAUACAAAUAACUCAAAAAUUGCCAAAUAUUUCUUGGAGACGGCGCGUGCGUGCGUGGAAAGGUUUCGACAGUUGGGGUGUCCCUUUGGAUCAAAGCCGGUCACUUUGGCUGGUCUUGAAGGGUGGCUGAAUGCAAGUUGCGGUCUUGGCGGCUGGAGGCGCGACGUUCAUGGGUGGAGCGUGUGUCUGAGGUGCGGGCUGGUAGCCAUGGCCAUGCGGGUGGCUUGGUUGCGAGUGGUUUGCGGAGCAGGGUGCGACGGAGGAGUGUGAGCGUUGGGGUACAUCACUUGCCCAGUCCUUGCCGACGGUGGUGGCAUCCAUGAUGAUGUAUCCUUCGUGAAGGCUUGUUCCCACUCCUUUCUGUCUUGCUUCUUGUGAAAACUUGAUAUGCAGGUUGGGGCGGUGAUGGCUAUCCGCGGUCGUACCCUUCUGGAAGGCAAGGAGUAGUCCUGGCGGUGUUUGUAUCGAUCUGUUCGGAUGUAGUGUGGUGAUGGUUGCUUUAUAAUAUAAAGCAUGGGAAAACUCUUUUUCAUAAUAAAAAUGUCCUUUAUCGAAAAGGGUGUCCUAUUCUUCCGUUAAAAUGUACGCAAGAUGGUAGGGUGCUGCAAUGUGCGCCUUUAUGGUAGUGUAACCAGUGUAAAUAACAAGGAAUGGAUGAUGGUAAUUUACCAUAGCAAACCCCACUUUAUUUGUUAUGUGUCUAUCUUCAUGGAGAAUGUAACUUUGUAUUGUAUAGUGUGUUGUGAAUGGUGGCUCCAGUCCUAAUUCUUCUAGCAGUUGCAUUAGAAGUAGGUUUAACUCCAGUCCUCCUAUACUCAUUUUCAACUAGAUCUACAAAUUCUUCUCCGAGUUGCCAUUGUUGAUGUGUUUGGUUCCCUGGACGGUAGCACAAGCGGUUGGUUCCCUGGACGGUAGCACAAGCGGUUGGUUCCCUGGACGGUGUGCACAAGCGGCAAGGGUAUCAGGUCGGGUCGCAGUAUAACAAUCUAUCUGUUGUUUUGUACUCCAAGUUUGUCUUGGCACUGUAAUCUUGCUCCCCGUUCGAACGAAGUAGGACGAACCUGCUGCUAGCCGGUAGUUUGGACAGCGGAGAAGAUCAGGGCGCCGGGGGUGCGGGAAAGCAGAACAGGAUGCAGCAAACUGUUCUCGUGGGACAAUCCGACAGCGUUAACUGAGCUAAGCAGCUCAAGAGCAUCUAAGCCGAAUUGGAGUCCAAAAGCUCUUGCAUCAAAGGCUAAGCAUCCAUAGAGAACCAGCGCGCAAAAUCUAGAGAAGCACAUCAAACCUCACAUACUAGAACCAGGAUUCAGCAAAUCCGAAGAGAGAAAAUUCUUGAUUGCUUAAAACAAAUUCGAAGAAACACAAAACAUCACCGCGACGCCUAUAUCGCCCAGUUGUUUAGCUCUUGGUGGUCUUCUCCUUGGUCUUCUGGAUCUUCAGCACCUUCUUCACAAUCUUCUGCUCCUCCACCAAAAACGCCCUGAUGAUCCUGCUCGGCACGAAAAAAAUCAGCUUAGCUCAGCAGCAAAUUUAUCAAGUAUCACUUGCUUUGAUUGAAUGAUGGUUACCUCUCCCUGACUGCAGGACCAGACAGAACACCACCAUAAGGACGGUUCACAGUCCUCCUGUUCCUUGACAAUCUGGACCUCUUGUACUCAGUAGGCCUCAGGUGUGGAAUCUGCAGUUUAGCAUAUCAAACUUCCAUGAGAAUGAUAAAAUGCCAUGGUGGUUACUAAGGCAGUGUAAUGUACCAACAACGCGAGGCAUAAACUUACGAUUCAGCAGGAACUUGCUAUUCUAUCUGCUGUAUUUAGCCACCACUAUCUAGCAGCAUAUAUAGCAUAUACCUACUGUAGGUAGAAGUGGUCCAACAGCAGUUCACGAUUACAUGCAUACAUGAUUUCACUUGUAAAUGGCUCAAUGCUACCUAUUAGGGGUUGUUUGGAAUGGGUGUAAAAUAGCUAAGCACCAGUGGUCACACAAAUUUUACAACCACUACAAGUGUAAGCAGCCAGCACAUAAGAGUAGACAAAUAGUACUAAUGAUUAUCUCCGCAAAGUAUGAACAUAAUGCACAUAUGGUGGACACCCCUCAAUAACCAAAUCACAAAGAAUGUAGUCCUUCAAAAAGUAGAGGGAUCAUUCCACAUAAAAGUACAGAUAAAUAUGAAGUAAAAGUCAGACAACGUACUAGCAAGCUCCUAUAAUUUUUCGAGACAGAUCACAAAGAUGUUGAACAAAAGAUUGCCAGUUAAACCAGAAGAUUUUUGAAAAACAUAAUAGUAAUCAAAAAAUAUUAUCAUUUGAACUGUGCAAGAAUACACCAUCUGAGUAGUACAACUUUGUGGUGAGUGCAAAUGCAAAAAACAAAAGGAGCCACCAGACAGAUAUCACAAUGAGGCUUCUACAACAAAACUAAGCAAAUGAUAAUAUAAUAUUGCAAUGACCUCAUAGAGAAGAUUAGGCCUAAUUCACAUAAAAUUAGGACAUAUUCUUGUCAUGUUUCACUGUAAUCAUACCCCUACUAAUAUGUCAGAAAAUGCUCUCAGCAACAAAAAUGAAGCUGAACUGACAGUAUAAAGUUCAUGCUAGAUUCAAAAUAUAAAUGCAUAAUAACCCACUAAGCAUAAAUUACAGAGUUAUACACUUAAGCAUUGGAAGAGAGUACAAACAGUCAAAAGUCAUGUUCAUAGAAUUGGUUUCCAGACAAGAACACAAUUAAGAGAGACGAAUCAAAGGAUACAAAUUCAGGGAAAAGAAUUCUAUGAGACCAGGUCUCACGGGUUAGCAGGUGAGACCCAUCCUGAUGGAUGACACGUGACAUUCACAAAUCACAAAGCAUCUACCCCACCCCCGACCUGAAAUCAGGGGGGAAGAGAUUAGAUGCUUUGUGAUUUGUAAAUGUCACGUGUCGUCCAUCAGGGCGGGUCAAACCUGCUAUCCGUGAGACCUGGUCUCAUAUAAUUUUUCUCCCAAAUUCAGGGCCAGACAAGCAAACACAGAAAGUGUGACAUGUCUCCAAUGCAAUUUAAAAAAACACAGAAUAGAAAAUAUGACAUGUUUCCAAUGCAAUUUCAAAAACACAGAAAAGAAGGUUGUUCUUUAAUGCAGUUUCAUGCAAAUCCUGUUUAGUGUGGGAAGAAAUAGCAAUACGCUUUACCAACAAAAAACAGCACACAAUUGACACAGCAUGCAAAGUACAAGGACGUACCAUACUCAUAAUUCAAAAUUAGCUAACAUAGACAGUUUAAUUUAAUAAAUCAGUCUAUGGACGGUAAAUUCACCCGCAGUAUGGUCAGCUGAGCAUACCCAAAGGUAUAGAACAUGAUUCGGCAAGAAUUAGCACUACUUCAACAAUAGUAAUCCCCACUUCACACAUUAACAUUAAACGAAAGAAUCUGAAGGAAAACAUUGCCACAUUCGAUGGGGCAGGACUCAAAUGUAGGGUUUUUUGUUUGGAGUUUAACUGUAUGUAUUUAUAUCAGCAACCACUUCGCUGAAAUACAGGUUGUAUCCGAGCGCAUGGUGCAUACAACGCAUGAAAUCUAACGAAAUAACAGGUUAAAAAAUGGAGAAUGGAACACAUACUCCUUGGAUCUUCUUGCCGGUAACCGGGCAUUUUGGCCCACUCGCCCGCUUCUUGGUGUACUGGUACACAAGCCUCCCACCUAAUAAUCAGUAAUACAUCAAGAAAACUCUUGAGUUGAGAUCCUGGAAGAAGACCCCAAAUUAUUUUUACCCAAGAUAAACUGUCAAGAGAGCGGUAAGGACACAAGUAAAAUUCAAGCCUAAAUCUAACACAUACACGUGCAGCAGCAAUACUAUCCAGACAGUUUCAAGACUAAAACACAGGAGCGAGAAAAAGCAGGCGCCGGUGAUCUCCCUCACCUGGGGUCUUGACGACGCGAGUCUGGUUCGACUUCGUGGCGUAGCUGUGGCGCUUUCGGUAUGUCAGCCGCUGCACCAUCUCGCCGCCCUCUCCCGGAGUUCUCUCACCGCUCGCUCUUUCGCUCCCGCUGUCUGUAACGAGGCGGCGCCGAAGGGAAGUGAGGGUUGGGGAGAAAGAAGAGCUUUUAUAGGGCUGUAAGUGGUCCGGGUGACCUAGAUCCAACGGUGGAGGACGCUUUGCCAAGUGAGCCGACGGCUUUGUGUUUGUUUUUCAUGAUUAUUAAUCCAGACCGCUUUUACCUGCAAAAUACCCAAUUGAACCAUGUUCGGGAGCCGACGUUGUUAGCACCCCUUUACCCAGAACACCAUCAGCAGCUCCCUGGUCUUCAAAAUGAUUAUCAUUGCAUGAUUCAAGUUGUCUUUCAUUUUUGGUUUUCAGCCUUCUAAAUUGGUUCAAUGAUUUAUUCGCACGUUUUCUUCCGAACUGGUCAAGCCUUGUCCAAGGAAUAUUUUCAAAUGUAUUUUUAUAUUCAUGCCAAGGACCCUUCUAGCGCAAAGUUACAUUAACGAUGAAGCUUUUCAGUGUUAGGAUAAGGGUGCCAAUUUGGUUGUGCCUUGAGAGCCUUGACCAAAACCGAACCGGCCGCGCACUCUGAACCAUGUGGUCUUUUCACAUGUCAUUAUAGUGUGCUAGCGCAACUCGAGGACCACUGCUAUUGGCACAUGUAAUCAAUAAAGAGAUCGUGCUCCGGAUUUGCAGCGGCAUAUUAACAAAACCCUUGAUUCGUGCACGCACGUAACGCAUAUCGCAUGAAAACCCACGAAAUUACUACCACGCAGUAACGCCUCUUCAGUGUUUUUUCUGGCCCAUAAAAGGCACACUGUGAAAACGAAUCAAGCUUCAUGCUUUCUAUCUCGCACUCACUCUCCUCAACUUCAAGCUCCAGCGCCCGAAGAAUAGAGUCCAAAAAAGCUUUGAAUCCCCUUUUCCCUCCUUUCAUCCUCGAGUGAUGGCCGAAAAGGGAGCCCGUGUAGUGGUGGUGAAAACCUCCAAGAGCGAUUCGAAGGCCACCGCGGGAAGCCAGGGUGCACCCGGCGACAUGCAGAAGGCGGCGGGCAAGAGGGGGCUAUGGCUCCCAUCCGUCAUCACCGCGGGAGACAUCGCCGAGCUCCAGGAGCUCGGGUACCUUCCGGCGCCCAAGGUCGCCCCAUGUCGUUCUUCGCUCAUCGGAGGGUCAUCGGGCCGCUCCUACGUCAAGGUACAGAAGCCCUGCGCCGGUGAGUGUGUCGUCUUCAUUUCGCAUCUCCUCUGAGGUAUGGGGUUUGGCAUCCACCCCUUUCUCCAAGGUCUCCUCUUUUCUACAGCAUCGAAUUCCACCAUUGCACCCCCAACUCCAUUCUCCAUAUCGCCUUCGACAUCACCUUCUACGAGGCGUUCCUCUGCAUCGAGCCCCACUUUGGGCUCUUGCUCAAAUUGUUUUGCGUCAAGGUGCAGACCAACAGGGGUCAACCCACAAAGUGUGGAGCGGUCAUGAUCAACUAGAUCCCGAGAGCCAAAUGGUUGCCUGGGAAAUUCAUCAAAACGGUGAAGUUAUAGCAGAAGGGUUGGUUCUAUGUGGCUGACAUGCCAUUGGGCAACCGGGAAGGGGUCAUCGCCUUCUCAAUCGCCCCUCUUGAGAGGCUGCAUAGUGGAGCCACAAAAUCUUACAUGGGGGCAGCAGGAACUGGAGGCCCUUUAGGAGCGAGUGAAGCUCUGCGUCGAUCAAGGCGUCACUCUCAUUGAUGUGGUGCAUGUCAUGCUCCAUGGCGGUGUCCAACCUCUCCAAGCCUGAGCUUCCCCCUUGUGGAAGUUCAUCGAGGGCGACGAGACCUCAAUUGUCCAACAUUUCUACAGGGGGAUGGACCUCAACGAGAUGCACGCACUCCUCUUCACGACCAAGAGUCAAACUUUCUGGAUCAAGGGGUACGACAUCACCUACUGCUCGGAAUGCCCGGCUACCAAGGUUUGUCACUUAGCCUUUUAUCUUUCGGGAUAAUUUUAGUUUGUCAUACCAAGCCAAAUGAUCGGGUUUGCCUUGUUGUAUUGAAUGAGCAUCAUGAAACACGGCUGGUUUUUGAAAAAAUUGAGUUCAAAAUUCAGUUUUAGGUUUUCACAGUAUGCAUUUCGGAAUGAUCGAGUUGAAAAUUUUGGAAGUACCGAGGCUGCAACAGAGACUAGGUCACACUGUUUCGGUUACACCGAAGUGAGACUUGGUCUCUUCGAAGAGCUCAUGGCACUGCAUAAAUGCAGAAUCGGUCUCAUCGAUUAAUAUCUUUUGGUUAUACCCAAAAGUGAUUCAACUCGGCAUGAUCUUGGAGGUUCCCAAGUGAAAUCUAACCAAUCUAGGAGACACCACUCUCCAAAAGGUAAUAGAUGAUGUGUUGAUGAUGAACUCCUUACCCUUGUGCUUCAAAAGAUAGUCUCCUCGACACUCAAUCACUCUCUCACGAAUUUGGCUUUGGUAGGAGAAGGAUUGGAGUAGAAAGCAACUUGAGGGGGCUAGAAAUCAAGGUUUAAAUGGUUGGAUGGGAAUGCCUUGAUCUCAACACAUGAGUAGCUGGCUCUCUCUCAAAAAAUGAAUGGUGGGAGUGUAGUUUCAUUCCAAUGGCUCUCUCUUAGAGUAAGUGGGGGUAGAGGGGUAUAAAUAGCCUUCACCAAGAAUCCAACCAUUAAAACCUUUUGACUCAACUUGGUGGCACCGAAAUGAAAAUCUUGAUGAGAUCGACCUGUGUAAAAGAUUUGAACGUUGGGCUUUCCGGUGAGACCGAAUGGAACAACUCGGUGGGACCGAUGUGCGAUGACCUAAGCAAGACUUCGUUUCGAUCCCAAUCGAAACAUCUCGGUAAUUCCGAAAUGAUGUGAAAGGGUUACAGAAACUUGGUCAGUGCAAAUCGGUGGGGCCAAUCGUCAUCUCGAUGGAAUCGAUGUUCUAGGGUUUGGCUGUGGCACUGUCUAGGAUCAACUCAGUGGGUCCAAAUGUAGAAGUUUCGGCUGGACCCAGUUGAACUUUUAGGUUUUGUCCAGAUAUGAUUUGGAGAAGGUGGUUGAGAAUUUUUGAAGCAAUAUCUUCAAGUAGUUGAGCAAUUGAGUCAUGAUCAAAACAUCAUCCCCUUUUAAUGGUAUUGGAUUUCCUAUGGACUCAAUGUGAUCUUGGAUCACUUAACCAAAAAUGCAGAGUCUUGAAGCUUUUUCCAAUCCAUGUUCUUAGCAUUUCAAGGGGGGCACAUUCUCAUGUCCUUGCCAUUCCAACAUUGAACUUCCUGAAAUCUAUCUUUGAAUAGGCAUUAGUUCAAUGACAUAUAUGUUGUUAUUAAUUACCAAAACCAAGGAGUUUGUAAGGGCAAGGAGAUCGUCUAUUUCAUGAAGAUCUAUGUGAGUGAGUCUUGUCCUUCGUGGACGGAAGCCAUGAUGUCAUAGACAAGGUUGCUUCUCCGUGGACCCAGCUACUUGUGAUAGGCGUUGGGAUUUCUCCUAAGAGGAAGGGUGAAGUAGUAUAGUAGCAUGAUAAUCCCCAAGUGCAAGGAAUCAUCGUAGCAAUUUCCAAAGGUGGAAGUGAUAAGUAUGGAGUGUUGAACCCACAAGGAGCUAAAGGUAAGAUCAAUAUUCUCUCAAGUCCUAUCUGCCACUAAUACGACUCUAUGUACACCGAACAUUUGCUUCCAUCUAGAGACGAGAAAUAAAACUACGUUGUGGGUAUGAAGAGGAUAGCUUUGCAUUAUAUCAGAGAACUAAAACAUAAAAAUAGGCGCUGCUAACAUAAAGUUAGAAUUAUUAUAAUAUAUUACAAAUAGCGAGUGUGGAAUAAUGAUGGGUUGGUGUGCAAAAUUGUCCUAGGCAAUUGUUAACAAGAUCGGUAAUCAUUAUUGCAAUUUCAUAUGAGGGAGAGGUAUAAGCUAACAUACUUUCUCUACUUGGAUCAUAUGCACUUAUGGUUGGAACUCUAGCAAGCAUCUGCAACUACUAAACAUCAUUAAGGUAAAACCCAACCAUAACAUUAAAGUACCAAGUCCCCUUUAUCCCAUACGCAACAACCCCCUUACUCGGGUUUAAGCUUCUGUCACUCUAGCAACCCACUAUAAGCGAAUCAUGAACGUAUUGCAACACCCUACAAUGGGAAUCCUUCACAUGUGCGCGGCACGAAAGGCACCAUAGGACAUCACCAAAAUAAAACAUACAACUCAAACCAAUCUAGAUCAUCAAUCAACCCAAAAGACAAAAGAAAUCUACUCAAAACACCAUAGGAUGGCAACACAUCAUUGGAUCAUAAUAUGUGGCAUAAAGCACCAUGUUCAAGUAGGGAAUUACAAUGAGGUGCGGGAGAGUGGACCACCGAAAAGAGAUGAGGAAGGUGAUGAAGAUGGUGAUGUUGAUGAAGACGAUCACCGCACUCUGGCGCCACCGAGAGAGAGGGGGAGGGUCUCCCCCUUGUGCUUCCUCCUCCAUGGCCUCCCCCCUAGAUGGGGAGAGGUUCUCCCUCUGAUCCUUGGCCUCCAUGGUGAUGAUGGCCCCCUCCGGCUUCCUCCUCCAUGGCCUCUGAUGAUGAUGGCCCCCUCCGGCGGGGUGCUAGAGAGGGCCUACAUUGAUUUUUCAUGGCUAUAGAAGCUUGCAGCCGCAGAACUUCCGAUCUAGGUUUCUUUUCGGUGGUUUGGGGAUUUAUAGGUAUUUUUGGCGUCGGUCUCACGUCAAGGGGGUCCACGAGGCAGUGGCAAGCCAGGGGCGCGCCCUCCACCCUUGUCGCUUCCUCGUGAAGCUUCUGGUCCAAACCUUGUGCUUCGGGGUUCUCUUUUGGUCCAUAAAAAAUCACCGUAAAAUUUCAGCUCAUUCCGAGAACUUUGAUUUCUACACAAAAAAUGACACCACGAUAGUUCAACUGAAAACAGCGUCAGUCCGGGUUAGUUCUAAUCAAAUCAUACCAAAACCAUAUAAAAUUGUUGUAAACAUGGCAUGAAUAAUUCAUAAAUUAUAGUACGUCGGAGACGUAUCAUAGCAGAAAGUAUUCCCCCCAGUUAAGAACCAAGGUUUAUUGAACCAAUAGGAGAUCCACGCAAAUGAACUAUAGCAGCACCCACACACACAAGAGCAAAUACUUGCACCCAACACAGGCAAGAGGGUUGUCAAUCCCCUUGUAUUUCUUAAUUGACAAAACUAAAUACACUUCAGUGACAAGUAGACCGUUAAACUUACUGAUGCCUACCACUAUUACUCCACUUCGAGAGCGCUUAUAUGCUUGCUUCUCUACGUAUUAAGUUCAUGACAAAUAGAGUAAUGCAUGAAUAUGAUGACAUAAUGUAGACAAAAUAAGUGAUGUGUACUACACAACUUAUUCUUGUAGUCUCGUGUUGGGCCUCCAAGCGUAGAGUUUUACAGGACAGUAGCAAUUUUCCCUCAAGUGGAUGACCUAAGGUUUAUCAAUCCGUGGGAGGCGUAGGAUGAAGAUGGUCUCUCUCAAACAACCCUGCAACCAAAUACAAGAAAUCUCUUGUGUCCCCAACACACCCAAUACAGUGGAAAAUUGUAUAGGUGCACUAGUUCGGCGAAGAGAUGGUGAUACAAGUGUAGUAUGGAUAAUAGAUAUAGGUUUUUGUAAUCUGAAAAUAAAAAAACAGCAAGGUAGCAAGUGAUAAAACGGAGCACAAACGGUAUUGCAAUGCUUGAAAACAAGGCAUAGGGUUCAUACUUUCACAAGUGAAAUCUGUCAACAAUGCUAACAUAAUUAAAUCAUAUGGCAAUCCCUCAAUGUGCGACAAAGAGUCACUCCAAAGUUCUUAUCUAGCGGAGAACAUAAGACAAAAUUGUUUGUAAGGUACGAAACCACCUCAAAGUUAUCCUUUUUGAUCGAUCUAUCGAGCUAUUCCUAUAAGUGCCACAAACAACCCAAGAGUUCAUAUAAAAUAACACCAUAUGAUACACAUCAACCAACUCUAAUGUCACCUAGAUACUCCAAUGUCACCACGAGUAUCUGUAAGUUGAUUAUACGAAAUGCAUCAAACAACUUCGGAUUCAUAAUACUCAAUCCAACACAAUAACUUCGAAGAGUGCCCCAAGAUUUCUACCGGAGAAACAAAGACGAAAACGUGCAUCAAACCCUAUGCAUAGAUUACCCCAAUGUCACCUCAAGAAUCCGUAAGUUGAGUGCCAAAACAUACACCAAGUGUUUUCAAAUCCAUAAAAGUAUUCAAUCUAAUAAUAAUGAAAUCUCAAAGGUAAAACUCAAUUCAUCACAACAAGAAAGAGAGGGGAAAACACCAUAUGAUCCAACUAUAUUAACAAAGCUCGCGAUACAUCAAGGUCGUGCCAAAUCAAGAACAAGAGAGAGAGAGAGAGAGAGAGAGAUUAAACACAUAGCUAAUGGUACAAACCCUCGGUCCCGAGGGUGGACUACUCUUGGGGAACGUAGUAAUUUCAAAAAAAAUGCUACGAUCACGCAAGAUCCUAUCCAUGCGAUGCAUAACAAUGAGAGGGGGAGUGUAUCUUCAUACCCUUGAAGAUUGCUAAGCGGAAGCAUUUCAUCAACGCGGUUGAUGUAGUCAUACACCUUCACGAUCCGCCCCGAUCAAGUAUUGAACGUACGGCACCUCCGCGUUCAGCACACGUUCAGCUCGAUGACGUCCUCGCCUUCUUGAUCCAGCAAGACGGGCGAAGUAGUAGAUGAGUUCCGGCAGCACAACGGCGUGAUGACGACAUUGGUGAAGAACAAUCUUCGCAGGGCUUCGCCUAAGCACUACAGAAACUAUGAUGGAGGAUAAACUAGAGGGGACGGGGUUGCCGGCACACGGCUUGGUAUUUCUUGAUGUGUCUUUCGUGCUAGCCCUGCCCCUCUAUUUAUAUGUUGAGCCUUGGGGUCAAAACUUGGAGUAAAAGCCUCCACAAAGUCGGUUUCACCCGAAAGGCAAGAGUCCUUCUCGGACUCCAGGGCCAGACGCCAGGGUUCCCGGCGUUUGGACCCAGACGCCAGGGACCCUGGCAUCUAGCCCCUAAACUCCACAAAACUUCCUUUUGCACUUUCCAAAAACCUUGUGGGCUUUCCCCUUUGGCCCAAAUAAAGUGUUCUCAUACCAAACAUUCCGGGAAACAUCCGGAACCCUUUCUGGUGAAUUCCGGAACCCUUUCGGAGACCAAACACUAUUAUCCCAUAUAUCAAUCUUUAUCUCCGAACCAUUCCGGAGUUACUCGUCAUGUCCGUGAUCAUAUCCGGGACUCCGAACAACAUUCGGUCACCAACAUACAUAACUCAUAUAAUACUAUAUCGUCAACGAACGUUAAGCAUGCGGACCCUACGGGUUCGAGAACUAUGUAGACAUGACCGAGACACCUCUCUAGUCAAUAACCAAUAGCGGAACCUGGAUGCCCAUAUUAGCUCCUACAUAUUUUAUGAAGAUCUUUAUCGGUCGAACCGCAUAACAACAUACGUUGUUCCUUUUGUCAUCGGUAUGUUACUUGCCCGAGAUUUGAUCGUCGGUAUCUCAAUACCUAGCUCAAUCUCGUUACCGGCAAGUCUCUUUACUCGUUACGUAAUGCAUCAUCCAGCAACUAACUCAUUAGUCACAUUGGUUGCAAGGCUUAUAGUGAUGUGCAUUACCGAGAGGGCCCAGAGAUACCUUUCCAACAAUCGGAGUGACAAAUCCUAAUCUCGAUCUAUGCCAACUCAACAAGUAGCAUCAAAGACACCUAUAGAGCACCUUUAUAAUCACCCAGUUACGUGGUGACGUUUGGUAGCACACAAAGUGUUCCUCCGGUAAUCGGUAGUUGCAUAAUCGCAUAGUCGUAGGAGCAUGUAUAAGUCAUGAAGAAAGCAAUAGUAGUAAACUAAAACGAUCAAGUGCUAAGCUAACGGAAUGGGUCAAGUCAAUCAAAUCAUUCUCCCAAUGAUGCGAUACCGUUUAUCAAAUGACAACUCAUGUCUAUGGUUAGGAAGCCUUAACCAUCUUUGAUUAACUAGCAAGUCAAGUAUAGGCAUACUAGUGACACUCUUUUUGUCUAUGUAUUCACACAUGUACUAAGUUUCCGUUUAAUACAAUUCUAGCAUGAAUAAUAAACAUUUAUCAUGAUAUAAGGAAAUAUAAAUAGCAACUUUAUUAUUGCCUCUAGGGCAUAUUUCCUUCAGUCUCCCACUUGCACUAGAGUCAAUAAUCUAGAUCACAUCACCAUGUGAUUAACACCAAUAGUUCACAUCACCAUGUGAUUAACACCCAUAGUUCACAUCGUCAUGUGACCAACACCCAAAGGGUUUACUAGAGUUAAUAAUCUAGUUCACAUCGCUAUGUGAUUAACACCCAAAGAGUACUAAGGUAUGAUCAUGUUUUGCUCGUGAGAGAAGUUUAGUCAACAGGUCUGUCACAUUCAGAGCCAUAUGUAUUUUGCAAAUAUUCUAUGUCUACAACGCUUUGCACGGAGCUACUCUAGCUAAUUGCUCCCACUUUCAUUUUUUGACUAUAUACUGCAAGGCAAUAGCCUCACAGUUCUUUAUUGCAAAGAACUAGAGAGAAUACAAAUGUACAAUUUACAAGUGUAACAAAGAAAAGAAAUUACUUACAAGGAGCCUAAGAGAGUGUGGCUAUCCAUGAAACUAAGUUAUCUUUAUAUUUACAUUUGAUUCUAUGAGCCAAAAGGGAAAUAUCAUGUAUGAAAUUCCUCCUCCAAGAUGUGAAGGAAGGUCUCUCAUUUCUAAAGAUCUUCCCAUUCCUUUGUGUCCAGAUAUUCCAUGUAGCAGCAAAGACCACCUCUGUGAAGAAAGGAUAACCAAAAUCCCUCCUAGCAGAAAGAGCCAUCUCAUAUGUAGUCUGGUUUGGCUGAACAAUCCAAGAAAUCCCAAGGUAGUUCCAAACCCUUUGACUAAAGUUGCAAGUAAAGAAGAGAUGUGCACACUCUUCAUGAGAAGCACAGAGGUAAAGAACACACGUGUCUUCCUGAAUGAUCCAUUGUCUACGCUGCAUCAUAUCCCUAGUAUUCAAACGAUCCAUUAUAAGAAGCCAUCCAAACACUUUAAGUUUGAGCGUACAAGCACACUUCCAAAUCCAUCUCAAAAUGGGAUCAACCACCAGGUGGGAGAAGCAAGACACAUAGUAUAUCUUUGAUUUGAACUCUCCAGAUUUAGAUGGCCACUUCCAAAUGUCCUUACUCUCCACAUUCAAAUUGAUCAAAGACAGCAAAUCUUGAAGUAGAGUGAGCUCAAAAUAAGCCUCCUGUGAUAGAAGCAGAUGGAAGUGCUCCGAGACCUCCGGUUGCUCCAUAAACUCACUGGUUGUGACUGUGUCAUCAAUGACAAAAGAAUGAAGCCUUGGGAAAAGCUCACGCAAAAGGACAACAUUAUUACCCAGCUACCAGCGAUCAAGCCAAAAAACCACCGUGUUCCCAUCAUACACUUGUGGGACGGCUAAUUUAUUGUACAAACUCAUGACAUCUCGCCACCAAAAAGAGCCAUAGCUUUGUGUGACUUGCGGUGGCGAAGAAGCAUAAUAGGUGUCCCAAAUUAAUGUGACCCAAGGCACGUCCACUCUGUUAAAGAACUUGAAAAGGUGCUCGAGCAAUAGAGCUUAAUUUUGAAAUCCCAAAUUAAGCACCCCCAAACCACCAUAAUUCUUAGGUCGGCAGACCAGAUCCCAUGCAGCCAAUGAUUGGCGAGGAUUAUCUGUGUUGCCUCUCCACAAGCACUAACGCAUGAUUCUCUCAAUCUGCUGCAAGAUGCCCUUGGGAAGAGAAAUCGUACACAAGAAAUAAAUUGGCAUGGAGCAUAACACCGACUGAAGCAGCUGUAAACGACUCCCUUGAUUUAGCAGACAUGAGGAAGCAGAUAAGCAUCACUCAAUAUGAUCAACUAGAGGCAUUAGAUCAUAGAUUGUGGGCCUAGACGUGCCCAUGGGUGACCCUAGAUAUGUGAAGGGCAUGGAGCCAACAUCACAACCUAGCAGAUUAGCAACCCGAGCACCCUACUCAUCACUCAUAUUGAUUAGAAUAAGUGAUGACUUACUGAAGUUGACACAUAAACCAGUUGAAGCCGCAAAGGUGUUAAGCAUAUCCUUGAAGGUGAUGAGUUGGUCAUCAAUGGCAGGUAAGACAAUGAGGGUGUCAUCUGCAAUUGAACGAUCGGGUAAUCAUUGGAGUUUGUUGGUAUUGGUAGAGACAUAAUGUUUCUGGAGCACAUCUCAUUAACCACAGACUAGAGUAGAUCCACAGCAAUCACAAAUAAUAAUGGAGAUAGCGGGUCUCCUUGGGGAACUCCCGAUCUGCAGGCAAAAUGGUUACCUGGAACCCCAUUUAAGAGAACAAAAGAAGAACCCGUAGACAAGAUGCUAUCAAUCCAGCCAGUCCAACGUGCAUCAAAACCCUUGCAUUGUAAGAUUCUGAGGAUGGCUUCAUGCUCAAUUGUAUCGAAUGCCUUCCUGAAAUCGAGUUUAAGGAUGAUGAUGGGACGCUUAGAAGCUUUACAUUGGUGAAUGUAUUCAAAACACCAAGCAAGACAAUCUUGAAUAGAUCUACAACGAAGAAAACCACAUUUGUUACGAUGUAUACAUCUCAAGAUCACUUUUUGAAGCCGAUUAGCCAGCAGUUUUGUCAAAAACUUCAAACACGUGUUGGUCAAGGAUAUGGGCCUAAAAUCUCCAACCACUUCUGGACUUAGCUUCUUGGGGACAAGAGUGAUUAAUGAAGUAUUAAGACAUUCCAAAGUGCACCUCCCAUCAUAAAACUCCUUGACAAGUUGCAUAAAAUCCUCCUUGAGAAUAGACGAGCACUUUUUUAAGAAGAGACUUGUGAAGCCAUCGGGGCCCGGUGCACGGUCAGAUGGCAUGUUCUUAAUUACGGCCUCAACCUCAUAAUCCAUGAACGGCAAUGAUAAAUCCUCCAGUCCAUUAACUCUGUCAAUUAAGUUGUGUAGAUCAAAACCCAUAUGGAUUCCUUUUGCUUGGCCCAUAUGCUGGUUGAAAUCAGACCAAAACAUGCCCGCCAACAGUUGGUGAUCGGAAACCACCUCACCUGUCGAGUUCUUGAUUGAAGAAAUAGUAUUCCUCCGAUACCUUUUUGUGGCCAUGGCGUGAAAAAAUUUAGAAUUUUCCUCAUCCACCUUAAUGCUUUGGAUAGUACAACGUUGCUUCCGAUAAACAUACUGCCAGUGUAAAAUAUCCUCAAGAUGCAACUUUACAAUUCACCUAAAAUUAAAUUCAAGCGAACUUAACGGCCGGAUCUCCUCCAUCUCAUCAAAGAAGAGAAUGACUUUGUUGCAAUUAGAAAUAAGCGCCUUAACCGUGGACAACUUUAAAUGCCAUUUCUUAAGGGCAUACCUGAGAGCUUUAAACUUGGAAGAAAUAGUUAAUGCAGCCGUGUGUUUACCCACCGACCUGCCCCAAACCUGAGCAACACAUUCAUUAAAGCCACGUAAUUCAGUCCAAUAAUUUUCAAAGCGAAAAACUUUAGCUUUAGGAAUGGCAGUGGCAAUCGUGACCACGCAAGGAACAUGAUCAGAGGCCGAUCGCGCAAGAGGCAAAACUAAAGUAUUAGGAUGAUCCGAAGUCCAUGCAACCGAAGUGAAAAACCAAUCAAUUUGUUCGAGGAGGGGUUUAGUUUGCAUAUUAGACCAAGUAAAUUGCCUUCCCUUAAUUGGCAGUUCAACAAGACCCAAGUGAUCGAUGAUUUCAUUAAACAGAAAGAUGUCGUUGACAUUACCACCAGGCAGGUUACGGUUUUCAAGCGACCUCAUAAAGUUAAAAUCACCCAAAAGUAGCCAAUUGUCGUCUCAAUUAAUGUCUAGGUUGUAUAGCCACUGCACGAACUCAUCACGGCUGGACCCUGACAUGGGCCAUAAACCGUAACUAGCGUCCAAACUUCAGAAGUAUGUUUGGAAUGGAAUUCCACAACGAUGCCAAAAGGUUUAGCCUCAAUUAACUUGCCCUCAAAAAAAGAAGAAUUCCAAAUAAUGACCAUACCAGCUGAUGCACCCACCAAAGUGUGACGCCCCCGAUUCAAUCGUACACUAAUCAUGCACGCAAACGUGUACGAUCAAGAUCAGGGACUCAUGGGAAGAUAUCACAACACAACUCUAAAACAUAAAUAAGUCAUACAAGCAUCAUAAUACAAGCCAGGGGCCUCGAGGGCUCGAAUACAAGUGCUCGAUCAUAGACGAGUCAGUGGAAGCAACAAUAUCUGAGUACAGACAUAAGUUAAACAAGUUUGCCUUAAGAAGGCUAGCACAAACUGGGAUACAGAUCGAAAGAGGCGCAGGCCUCCUGCCUGGGAUCCUCCUAACUACUCCUGGUCAUCGUCAGCGGGCUGCACGUAGUAGUAGGCACCUCCGGUGUAGUAGGGGGUCGUCGUCGAUGGUGGCGUCUGGCUCCAGGGCUCCAGCAUCUGGUUGCGACAACCAGGUAGAAGGGAAAGAGGGAAAAGAGGGGGAAAAGCAACCGUGAGUACUCAUCCAAAGUACUCGCAAGCAAGGAGCUACACUACAUAUGCAUGGAUAUAUGUGUAAAGGGCCAUAUCAGUGGACUGAACUGCAGAAUGCCAGAAUAAGAGGGGGAUAGCUAGUCUUAUCGAAGACUACGCUUCUGGUCACCUCCGUCUUGCAACAAGUAGAAGAGGGUAGGUUGAAGUCCUCCAAGUAGCAUCUCCACUGUAGAAUCUCCAAAUAGCAACUCCAAGUAACAACUCCAGUAGCAUCUCCAGCAGCAUCGCAGUAGCAUAAUCCUACCCGGCGAUCCUCUCCUCGUCGCCCUGUUGAAAAGCAAUCACCGGGUUGUCUGUGGAACUUGGAAGGGUGUGUUUUAUUAAGUAUCCGGUUCUAGUUGUCAUAAGGUCAAGGUACAACUCCAAGUCGUCCUGUUACCGAAGAUCACGGCUAUUCGAAUAGAUUAACUUCCCUGCAGGGGUGCACCAACUUACCCAACACGCUUGAUCCCAUUUGGCCGGACACACUUUCCUGGGUCAUGCCCGGCCGCGGAAGAUCAACACGUCGCAGCCCCACCUAGGCACAACAGAGAGGCCAGCACGCCGGUCUAAACCUAAGUGCACAGGGGUCUGGGCCCAUCGCCCAUAGCACACCUGCACGUUGCGAGGGCGGCCGAAAGCAGACCUAGCCUAGUGGCGUUCCAGUCCAAUUCGGCGCGCGCCGCUCCGUCGCUGACGUCUGAAGUGCUUCGGCUGAUACCACGACGUUGGGAUACCCAUAACUACUCCCGCGUAGAUGGUUAGUGCGUAUAAGCUCGUAGCCAACUCAGAUCAAAUACCAAGAUCUAGCGUGUUAAGUAUCCGCGAACACCGAACAGGGCCAGGCCCACCUCUCUCCUAGGCGGUCUCAACCUGCCCUGUCACUCCACCACAAAGAUCCACACAGAGGGCCGUCGGGACAAAGGUCCUUUCAGCCCCCAAUCCGUGAAUCACUCGCGGGUACUCUUCGAGCUGACCCGACUUUAGUCACCAUCUGUAUAGUAUGUAUGUAUGUAUAGUAUAUACCCGUGAUCACCUACCGAGUGAUCACGGCCCAAUAGUAUAGCAAGGCAGACCGACAAGAAUGUAGGGCCAAUGAUGAUAAACUAGCAUCCUAUACUAAGCAUUUAGGAUUGCAGGUAAGGUAUCAACAGGUGUAGCAACAAUGUCAGGCUAUGCAUCAGAAUAGGAUCAACGGAAAGCAGUAACAGGCUACACUACUCUAAUGCAAGCAGUAUAGAAGAGAAUAGGCGAUAUCUGGUGAUCAAGGGGGGGGCUUGCCUGGUUGCUCUGGCAAGAAGGAGGGGUCGUCAACUCCGUAGUCGAACUGGGCAGCAGCAGCGUCGGUCUCGUAGUCUACCGGAGAUAAGAGGGGGGAAGAAACAAUGAAUACAAUGCAAACAUAAACACGACGAUGCGUGACGUGACAAUGAGCGGUGCUAGGUGUGCCCUAACGUGGUAUGAGGUGGUACCGACGAAGGGGGGAAACAUCCGGGAAAGUAUUCCCGGUGUUUCGCGUUUUCGGACAGAUGAACCAGAGGGGGAAAGUUGCGUGUUUGAUAUGUUAGGGGUGUGUGGUGGACGAACGGGCUGUGUAUCCGGGUUCGUCUCGUCGUUCUGAGCAACUUUCAUGUUGAAAAUAUUUUAAUCCGAGUUACGGAUUAAAAGAUAUGAUUUUCUAAAGAUUUUAUUAAUUUCUGGAAUUUAAUUAGUUAUUUAAAUUAAUUCAAAAAUGGGAUAAUGACAUCAGCAUGAUGUCAUGCUGACAUCAGCAGUCAACAGAGUUGACUGGUCAACUGACGUGUGGGUCCCAGCUGUCAUUGACUGUUAACUAACCUAAUAGAUUAAUUAACUAACUAGGUGAUUAGGUUAAUCUAAUCAGGAUCAAUUAAGUUAAUUAAUUCUCUAAUUAAUUAACUAAUUAAUAUUUUAAUUAUUUUAAUCAUUUAUUUAUUUUAUUAAAUCUUUUUUUUAAUUUUCGUUCUAGGGCCUGGGCCCCUCAUGUCAUAGGCAUAGGGGCCUUAGCGGGUUCGGGCGCAACGGGCGCGGUUGCGGGCAACGGGCACCGGUGUGCGGGCGUGGUGGCCGGCCCCAACAGGGCGCCCGAGGGGGGGCGCCGGCGAGGCGCAGAGCAGGGCGAGGUUGGCGGGGCACCGGCGACCACCGCACAAGCGGCAGCAGGGCGCAGGGAGCCCAGACCGGCGCGUGGGCNNNNNNNNNNNNNNNNNNNNNNNNNNNNNNNNNNNNNNNNNNNNNNNNNNNNNNNNNNNNNNNNNNNNNNNNNNNNNNNNNNNNNNNNNNNNNNNNNNNNNNNNNNNNNNNNNNNNNNNNNNNNNNNNNNNNNNNNNNNNNNNNNNNNNNNNNNNNNNNNNNNNNNNNNNNNNNNNNNNNNNNNNNNNNNNNNNNNNNNNNNNNNNNNNNNNNNNNNNNNNNNNNNNNNNNNNNNNNNNNNNNNNNNNNNNNNNNNNNNNNNNNNNNNNNNNNNNNNNNNNNNNNNNNNNNNNNNNNNNNNNNNNNNNNNNNNNNNNNNNNNNNNNNNNNNNNNNNNNNNNNNNNNNNNNNNNNNNNNNNNNNNNNNNNNNNNNNNNNNNNNNNNNNNNNNNNNNNNNNNNNNNNNNNNNNNNNNNNNNNNNNNNNNNNNNNNNNNNNNNNNNNNNNNNNNNNNNNNNNNNNNNNNNNNNNNNNNNNNNNNNNNNNNNNNNNNNNNNNNNNNNNNNNNNNNNNNNNNNNNNNNNNNNNNNNNNNNNNNNNNNNNNNNNNNNNNNNNNNNNNNNNNNNNNNNNNNNNNNNNNNNNNNNNNNNNNNNNNNNNNNNNNNNNNNNNNNNNNNNNNNNNNNNNNNNNNNNNNNNNNNNNNNNNNNNNNNNNNNNNNNNNNNNNNNNNNNNNNNNNNNNNNNNNNNNNNNNNNNNNNNNNNNNNNNNNNNNNNNNNNNNNNNNNNNNNNNNNNNNNNNNNNNNNNNNNNNNNNNNNNNNNNNNNNNNNNNNNNNNNNNNNNNNNNNNNNNNNNNNNNNNNNNNNNNNNNNNNNNNNNNNNNNNNNNNNNNNNNNNNNNNNNNNNNNNNNNNNNNNNNNNNNNNNNNNNNNNNNNNNNNNNNNNNNNNNNNNNNNNNNNNNNNNNNNNNNNNNNNNNNNNNNNNNNNNNNNNNNNNNNNNNNNNNNNNNNNNNNNNNNNNNNNNNNNNNNNNNNNNNNNNNNNNNNNNNNNNNNNNNNNNNNNNNNNNNNNNNNNNNNNNNNNNNNNNNNNNNNNNNNNNNNNNNNNNNNNNNNNNNNNNNNNNNNNNNNNNNNNNNNNNNNNNNNNNNNNNNNNNNNNNNNNNNNNNNNNNNNNNNNNNNNNNNNNNNNNNNNNNNNNNNNNNNNNNNNNNNNNNNNNNNNNNNNNNNNNNNNNNNNNNNNNNNNNNNNNNNNNNNNNNNNNNNNNNNNNNNNNNNNNNNNNNNNNNNNNNNNNNNNNNNNNNNNNNNNNNNNNNNNNNNNNNNNNNNNNNNNNNNNNNNNNNNNNNNNNNNNNNNNNNNNNNNNNNNNNNNNNNNNNNNNNNNNNNNNNNNNNNNNNNNNNNNNNNNNNNNNNNNNNNNNNNNNGUGUGGGUUUCUCUUUUGUAUUUCCUUUCUUUUAUUUAUUUCUUUCCUAUUUAAAUUCAUCUAAAAGUAAUUAGCCAUUUUAUAAAAAGGUGUUUACUACGCCGUAAUUACCGAUGCAAUAUUAGACAUGGCCCGGACAUUUUAUUUUAAUAUUUGAAAACUUUUGACGUUUGACUUAUUUAGGAUUUAAAUUUGAAACGACUUUGAAUUAACCCGAGAUUAAUUACAGUGACAGAGGUGACGUGUCACCAUUAACGUGAGAUCACUGUAGCAUGAUUAUUCGGGCGUUACAAAUCUCCUCCACUACAAGAAAUCUCAUCCCGAGAUUUAAGAGGGGAGUAAGGGGAAAGUUCUGGUUACGAUAUUCUAAUGGAUCUUCUCGAGGAAGUUAAUUCCUUUUGUUGAUGUCUUCAAUCCUUUAUUCCGAUGCAUCAUGAUAAACUUGUCAUCAUUUCUUCGGGAACUCCAUCGUACUUACGAAAAGAUAAGGAGCAGCUCACUACGACAUAAUGCUUUUGAGGGAAACAAUCUGGGGUUAACCCAUGAAUUAGUAUAAGAUUAUCUCUCGAGUUGAACAUAUGAAAUACCUCGAGAGUAAGGUACGAAGGUACCAUAAUAGGCUCCAAGCGGAUAGAUAGUUGCUCGAAGCCUGAACCAGAGUGAGAAAGGGGUUCAGAGUAGCGAGAGUAAGUAUUGCGUCUGAUACCAGUAUAGAGCACUAGGAAGGUGGCCCGUGAAUUAAAUACGAAGCCAAGCGCGAGGAAUAACUUUGGAAACAGGGGGUAUAGGAGAGUCAGGUUUCGAUCCUGUGGAACUGUGGGCUAUGGGCCCACCAUGUGGUUUUUUUUAAAUAGGAGCAGUGACAUCUUACACGGUCAUGAUAGCAAGGCAUGUCAGAGAGUACCAAGUCAGUUAUGUCGGCAACAAUGUUGAUACCAAGGGCGAGGGACGAAGGGAACCAUUUUCCUGCUCGUUGAAACGAGGCGGGCCAAGAGGCAAAGUUCUCAUCCAUCGGCGGUUACCGAAAUUUCAUCAACAAUAGAAACAGGGUCUCACUGGCAGAGUUGUACACCGAGGUGUUUACAUGAGCAGAAGAAUCUUACUGUUUAGAUCAUAUAGAUCACAAGAAAGGUUAAACAAACCAAUGGAAAAGAAAAUGUGAUCCUCAGGUUAAACAGAACAAAUGGAAAGGAAAAAUGUGUUUAAACACAUAUUUCAGGGGUAUAUCCUUCCCAAGGACAAGCAGAGCAUGAUAUCCUUGAUAGGAUAUAAAGUAGAAAACCCUUUCAGGUAAGGGGAGAGAAAUUUCAUGAUAUUACUCACACAACGGUGUUAGGAUAAAUGAUAAAUAAAAUUUAGCAUCGUGCUUCAAAUGUUCCUGUUGAAAAUCGGAGUACCAUUGACAUGCUUCGAGAUAGCAUUGACAUGGUCUUCAGGUGAAGAUCAGACUUUGGAAACACGAAGGAUCCGUCAGGAAUAACUUGUAUAAUAAGUCUUACAAUUUCCUCCAGGAAGAAUGGUUGUCCUUGCAAAAGAAAUUAUAACGAUAGGUCCUCCACCCAGCGGGGGNNNNNNNNNNNNNNNNNNNNNNNNNNNNNNNNNNNNNNNNNNNNNNNNNNNNNNNNNNNNNNGGGGGUGCUAGGCAUGACAUCAUGUUACCGGGUCACGUAGAGAUCAAUGUUACAACUCUUGGAGAUAUGUCCCAACCAUCAUAUCUGACCGAGAUUCAGAUCCAUUUGGUGUCAGGAUACCUCAUACUUAGGAUACCUGAGAAGAAAAGGUGCAACGCGAAUUGACGAGAUGACAUUGUAAGAUUCUCGGGGAAAUGAACUAUGAAGUGAUUUCCGUUAUCAAGAGUCCAUCAUUAACCCAAGGAGAGGACAAGGAGGUGUCUGGUGAACUCAACGGCAAUUCACCGAGAUUCCCAAAAGAUGGAUGUCCACAAUUAAGUGAACAAGGAGAUAACAUUUGUCAGAUCAAAUGAUAUAAGGAAGUAUGCUCGAGGAAAACAUACACAAUUAAACAUUGGUUGAAAGGUGCGCCCGAAAUAUGGGUUGGGUUGCACGACCAAUGUCAGAAUGGUGAUGCAAUAAUCAAUAGCCUAAGAAUGAACUUUCGACCAUUAAUCUUCAAAAAAACUAGGGUUGCUAGAAGGAAAGAAUCCAAACAACACCGUUCACUUGUUGGAAUUAACACGGGGACCAAGAAAGAAUGGUGAUGGUGAGAAGUAUUUCUAUGUCAAGAAUUCUCAAGAGGUGGAACAAAUCUCAGAACAUUCUUGACAUAAAGGACAGUAAUACUCCAAGGUAAAGAAGAACAAUUGCUGGAUAGCAAGGAAACCAAGGUACAACACAAAUUGUGAACAAGUUUGUGUUGGGGGGGGGGAAGGCAAGAAUGUUGCCGAUGAUAACUCAAAUCAUCGAGGGACAAGGAUGGUAUUUCUCAUCAUGAAUUCAAUUGAUAUCCUGGAAGAACUCAUAAGGUUGAUGAGGAUCACGACACAUUUGUCGACAGAUUUCAUGAAGAAGUAAUCAAUCAGCGACGACAUCAAGUCAAAGGAAUGAUGAAGCCAAAAGUCAUUGGAACCAUGGGUACGACACAAACUCGAACUCAAGCUUGUUGUUUAAGGUGAAAGGGUAUGACGAGGAAAAUCGACGUAAGGUUAGUUUAUCGUCGAAAAUUGGUGCUCCGAGAAUAAGGACCAGGUAGCACCGUUAGAAUCGUCACGACAAUGAUAUAGCCAAACAGGCUAGGAAUGGCGUGAUCGGGUACAAACUCGUACUUAUAGAAGCUUACUGAAGAGUUGUUGAACCGAAGAGCGGACUCGGUUCAGUUAUCGGUGUCUUUGAGUGUUCAAUAACUCAGAGCCCGUGAAAAAUUGGAAUCAGUGGGAAGGUAGCACGUGAUGAAGAACUCAUAAGGAGUUAUGCAGUUCCAUGAUAAUCUCGAGAUACCAAGGGGGUAAUACUCGACACAAGAUCAAAGUAAAGGUUGGACUGGUGUAUUGAUCCAUAGAAGACAAUUGUUUUAACUUGUCCGAGAAAUGAGAUCAAAGAAGAACAAUCAUGGUCGGAACCACGGUUGCAAAAGGCCAGAUCCUAGAUAUAAGAUGAACUUAUACCAAAGGAAUAAUUUAUUUAAAAGAAGCUUUAAUGAUAAGAUCUGCAUCGUGUCCAUGGGCAUGAACACAAGUUCAAGGUCGACUCCCACUUCUUCAAUGUAUAACCUCCCAUUCACUUCUCGCUUUGAUAAAGGCAUUAGUGUUGAAAGUGUUACCUGGUGUAAUACCAGAUGAGUAUGACUCGUGAAAACUUUCGAGUUCACACAUAUUAAGGAAGGCAUGCGUUCAACCCGUCAGGGUAUCGUGGAAACAUAUACCACAAGCUUCAAUAUUAAAUAUCACAAGCUCGAAAGUAGAGCAAGGUUGAGAAAGUAGAUGAUACAAUUUACCAAAGGCAUUAUGUAUCCAAGGAAAGGCUCACAAGGUUAUUGAAUAUGAAGGACAAUGUCGGAUAAAAUCCAUUAAAGGAUCUGUCGGUCCAUAACAGAGCUGAUGUGAGCAUCGGCACACAAUCAGAGGAAGUAACAAUGCAAGGGCAUUGGAUUAUAGAAACAACUGACUAAUCCAGAGCUCAAAUGCAAAGGAAUUAUGAUUUCCAAAUUAAGGGAACAGAAGCAAUGUUCUGAUCAGGGGUGGAUAAGUUGAAUAGCCUUAGGGGUACUAUCGACGACAUUUGGAUUGGUUGAGAACCAGCUCAUGUUUAAGAUGACGUCUGAGCCGGAAAGAUAAUUUAAAAUGAUCAACUGAUGAUUGCGUGCAUUCGCACUCAUGUUGAAUCAAAAAGGAUCAAAAUGACGAUGCCUAAGGAUACUAACGAAUAUUGCCAGACAUAUGGAAAGCAUCCAUCAUGCAAGUAGACAAGUAUGACCGAGCAAUAAGCUGCUAAGGAUUUUUGGAGGAUCGAAUAGUAUUUCGAAGACCAUUGUGAAACACAUGAACAACUGGGGGAUGAGCGGAUACUCGAUAAGUGCGAGAAUUAUCCAUAGGGGUAUUCAGGUGAUAAAGAACAGCAAGGCAGUAAGCUCAAAGGAUUCUCGGAACAACAGAGAGAAUUUCAAGGUAUCUUGUAAUAACAAGAUCAACUGGGGAUGAAUGUAAGAAUAACAACUGCAAGUAGUUAUCCAUAAGGGUUGACGGUGGAAGGGGAAUUGCAAAUGCGAUGAACAUAAGUUCUCGGGUUAACAGCGGAGAGUAUCUUCAGGGUCUUCACGUGCCACAGACGAUCAACAUUAAUAAGGGGGUCUCAGGGUGAAAGUGAUAACGAGAUCCUAAUGUUAGAUUUCGCAAAAAUCAUUUAACCCGAAUAGAAGAGAGAUCAGAGUCCCAGAGUAUAGGUCGAGGAGUAAAAGAUCCUACUACCACCCGAUGGCGACGUGGGCCCAUGGGCCACACAGCCAUGUUAGUAAAAGUUUUUCAACGACUAGACUCGACUUCGGCCAAGGAGUUGGAAAGGGAGAUUCCUACAGGCAGUCGGCUCUGAUACCAACUUGUGACGCCCCCGAUUCAAUCGUACACUAAUCAUGCACGCAAACGUGUACGAUCAAGAUCAGGGACUCACGGGAAGAUAUCACAACACAACUCUAAAACAUAAAUAAGUCAUACAAGCAUCAUAAUACAAGCCAGGGGCCUCGAGGGCUCGAAUACAAGUGCUCGAUCAUAGACGAGUCAGCGGAAGCAACAAUAUCUGAGUACAGACAUAAGUUAAACAAGUUUGCCUUAAGAAGGCUAGCACAAACUGGGAUACAGAUCGAAAGAGGCGCAGGCCUCCUGCCUGGGAUCCUCCUAACUACUCCUGGUCGUCGUCAGCGGGCUGCACGUAGUAGUAGGCACCUCCGGUGUAGUAGGGGGUCGUCGUCGAUGGUGGCGUCUGGCUCCAGGGCUCCAGCAUCUGGUUGCGACAACCAGGUAGAAGGGAAAAAGGGAAAAGAGGGGGAAAAGCAACCGUGAGUACUCAUCCAAAGUACUCGCAAGCAAGGAGCUACACUACAUAUGCAUGGAUAUAUGUGUAAAGGGCCAUAUCAGUGGACUGAACUGCAGAAUGCCAGAAUAAGAGGGGGAUAGCUAGUCUUAUCGAAGACUACGCUUCUGGUCACCUCCGUCUUGCAACAAGUAGAAGAGGGUAGGUUGAAGUCCUCCAAGUAGCAUCUCCACUGUAGAAUCUCCAAAUAGCAACUCCAAGUAACAACUCCAGUAGCAUCUCCAGCAGCAUCGCAGUAGCAUAAUCCUACCCGGCGAUCCUCUCCUCGUCGCCCUGUUGAAAAGCAAUCACCGGGUUGUCUGUGGAACUUGGAAGGGUGUGUUUUAUUAAGUAUCCGGUUCUAGUUGUCAUAAGGUCAAGGUACAACUCCAAGUCGUCCUGUUACCGAAGAUCACGGCUAUUCGAAUAGAUUAACUUCCCUGCAGGGGUGCACCAACUUACCCAACACGCUUGAUCCCAUUUGGCCGGACACACUUUCCUGGGUCAUGCCCGGCCGCGGAAGAUCAACACGUCGCAGCCCCACCUAGGCACAACAGAGAGGCCAGCACGCCGGUCUAAACCUAAGUGCACAGGGGUCUGGGCCCAUCGCCCAUAGCACACCUGCACGUUGCGAGGGCGGCCGAAAGCAGACCUAGCCUAGUGGCGUUCCAGUCCAAUUCGGCGCGCGCCGCUCCGUCGCUGACGUCUGAAGUGCUUCGGCUGAUACCACGACGUUGGGAUACCCAUAACUACUCCCGCGUAGAUGGUUAGUGCGUAUAAGCUCGUAGCCAACUCAGAUCAAAUACCAAGAUCUCGUUAAGCGUGUUAAGUAUCCGCGAACACCGAACAGGGCCAGGCCCACCUCUCUCCUAGGCGGUCUCAACCUGCCCUGUCACUCCGCCACAAAGAUCCACACAGAGGGCCGUCGGGACAAAGGUCCUUUCAGCCCCCAAUCCGUGAAUCACUCGCGGGUACUCUUCGAGCUGACCCGACUUUAGUCACCAUCUGUAUAGUAUGUAUGUAUGUAUAGUAUAUACCCGUGAUCACCUACCGAGUGAUCACAGCCCAAUAGUAUAGCAAGGCAGACCGACAAGAAUGUAGGGCCAAUGAUGAUAAACUAGCAUCCUAUACUAAGCAUUUAGGAUUGCAGGUAAGGUAUCAACAGGUGUAGCAACAAUGUCAGGCUAUGCAUCAGAAUAGGAUCAACGGAAAGCAGUAACAGGCUACACUACUCUAAUGCAAGCAGUAUAGAAGAGAAUAGGCGAUAUCUGGUGAUCAAGGGGGGGGCUUGCCUGGUUGCUCUGGCAAGAAGGAGGGGUCGUCAACUCCGUAGUCGAACUGGGCAGCAGCAGCGUCGGUCUCGUAGUCUACCGGAGAUAAGAGGGGGGAAGAAACAAUGAAUACAAUGCAAACAUAAACACGACGAUGCAUGACAUGACAAUGAGCGGUGCUAGGUGUGCCCUAACGUGGUAUGAGGUGGUACCGACGAAGGGGGGAAACAUCCGGGAAAGUAUUCCCGGUGUUUCGCGUUUUCGGACAGAUGAACCAGAGGGGGAAAGUUGCGUGUUUGAUAUGUUAGGGGUGUGUGGUGGACGAACGGGCUGCGUAUCCGGGUUCGUCUCGUCGUUCUGAGCAACUUUCGUGUUGAAAAUAUUUUAAUCCGAGUUACGGAUUAAAAGAUAUGAUUUUCUAAAGAUUUUAUUAAUUUCUGGAAUUUAAUUAGUUAUUUAAAUUAAUUCAAAAAUGGAAUAAUGACAUCAGCAUGAUGUCAUGCUGACAUCAGCAGUCAACAGAGUUGACUGGUCAACUGACGUGUGGGUCCCAGCUGUCAUUGACUGUUAACUAACCUAAUAGAUUAAUUAACUAACUAGGUGAUUAGGUUAAUCUAAUCAGGAUCAAUUAAGUUAAUUAAUUCUCUAAUUAAUUAACUAAUUAAUAUUUUAAUUAUUUUAAUCAUUUAUUUAUUUUAUUAAAUCUUUUUUUUUAAUUUUCGUUCUAGGGCCUGGGCCCCUCAUGUCAUAGGCACAGGGGCCUUAGCGGGUUCGGGCGCAACGGGCGCGGUUGCGGGCAACGGGCACCGGUGUGCGGGCGUGGUGGCCGGCCCCAACAGGGCGCCCGAGGGGGGGCGCCGGCGAGGCGNNNNNNNNNNNNNNNNNNNNNNNNNNNNNNNNNNNNNNNNNNNNNNNNNNNNNNNNNNNNNNNNNNNNNNNNNNNNNNNNNNNNNNNNNNNNNNNNNNNNNNNNNNNNNNNNNNNNNNNNNNNNNNNNNNNNNNNNNNNNNNNNNNNNNNNNNNNNNNNNNNNNNNNNNNNNNNNNNNNNNNNNNNNNNNNNNNNNNNNNNNNNNNNNNNNNNNNNNNNNNNNNNNNNNNNNNNNNNNNNNNNNNNNNNNNNNNNNNNNNNNNNNNNNNNNNNNNNNNNNNNNNNNNNNNNNNNNNNNNNNNNNNNNNNNNNNNNNNNNNNNNNNNNNNNNNNNNNNNNNNNNNNNNNNNNNNNNNNNNNNNNNNNNNNNNNNNNNNNNNNNNNNNNNNNNNNNNNNNNNNNNNNNNNNNNNNNNNNNNNNNNNNNNNNNNNNNNNNNNNNNNNNNNNNNNNNNNNNNNNNNNNNNNNNNNNNNNNNNNNNNNNNNNNNNNNNNNNNNNNNNNNNNNNNNNNNNNNNNNNNNNNNNNNNNNNNNNNNNNNNNNNNNNNNNNNNNNNNNNNNNNNNNNNNNNNNNNNNNNNNNNNNNNNNNNNNNNNNNNNNNNNNNNNNNNNNNNNNNNNNNNNNNNNNNNNNNNNNNNNNNNNNNNNNNNNNNNNNNNNNNNNNNNNNNNNNNNNNNNNNNNNNNNNNNNNNNNNNNNNNNNNNNNNNNNNNNNNNNNNNNNNNNNNNNNNNNNNNNNNNNNNNNNNNNNNNNNNNNNNNNNNNNNNNNNNNNNNNNNNNNNNNNNNNNNNNNNNNNNNNNNNNNNNNNNNNNNNNNNNNNNNNNNNNNNNNNNNNNNNNNNNNNNNNNNNNNNNNNNNNNNNNNNNNNNNNNNNNNNNNNNNNNNNNNNNNNNNNNNNNNNNNNNUGUGUGUGUUUCUCUUUUGUAUUUCCUUUCUUUUAUUUAUUUCUUUCCUGUUUAAAUUCAUCUAAAAGUAAUUAGGCAUUUUAUAAAAAGGUGUUUACUACGCCAUAAUUACCGAUGCAAUAUUAGACAUGGCCCGAACAUUUUAUUUUAAUAUUUGAAAACUUUUGACGUUUGACUUAUUUAGGAUUUAAAUUUGAAACGGCUUUGAAUUAACCCGAGAUUAAUUACAGUGACAGAGGUGACGUGUCACCAUUAACGUGAGAUCACUGUAGCAUGAUUAUCCGGGUGUUACAGAAAGGCACAUAAGCAAAAUUAUCAAAACGUCGUGGACAAAACCUCCUAAUGAACCUAUGAUCAACAUGCAUACAUUUAGUUUCUUGGAGGCAGACCAUAGAACAAACACUUUCAUCAAUCUUCUGUUUAACAAAAAGUUGUCGCGCUUCAGAAUUAAGGCCACAUACGUUCCAACAAAGCACCUUCCAAUCUUUAAACCCAAACUGAUUCAUUACAGACCAUAAUAAGUUGCAGCAAAAGUAGAUCACGCAAUGAUCAACACAGACCAGCUAAGCAUAGCAAAAAGACAGAGUUCCAAACAUAAAAACAGAAAUAAAGAUAGAUGACGUUUAAAGUGGCACGCCAUGGACCAUGAAGCUGCAUUAUGUGAUCAAUCAUCGGAACUCUUGCUGCUGGUAGAUUUAGCUGGAUUAGCCACAAGCUUUUCCGCGGUGAUCUUCUCCGGGGUGAUGCGCAGACGAGUCCCAAUACGCUGAAGAUCAGCAAUGGCAGUUGGUGGUGGCACCGCUGAAGCUCCAUCAGACUUAGCCAAUUUGGUCUUGCGCUUCUUCAGAGUGUGAGGAGAUUUGUUCUGACAUUUAGACUUGCUAGUGCCACUGCUUGGCACAUUACGGUAACCAUCGCAUAAAUCACUAAGGCAUACACUGCGGCGAACUUCAGUGUCCACCAAAAUUGCAGUCCUCUGCUUUCUAUCACGUUUCAGAGUCACUUUCAAUAUGUAUCCAGAUUGAGACUUGAGUCAUCUGGAUCGGUGUAAAAGCUUGCAUCGACGUAACUCUUUACGGCAAACUCUUUUUAUCACCUCCAUAAUCGAGAAACAUUUCCUUAGUCCUCACUAAGGAUAAUUUUGACCACUGUCCAGUGAUCUAUUCUUAGAUCACUAUUGUACCCCCUUGCCAAACUCAUGGCAAGGUACACAAUAAGUCUGGUACACAACACAACAUACUUUAUAGAACCUAUGACUGUGACAUAGGGAAUGACGUUCAUUCUUUUCUAUUUUCUACCAUGGUCGGGCUUUGAGUCUUACUCAACUUUACACCUUGUAGUAUAGACAAGAAUUCCUUCUUUGACUGAUCCAUUUUGAACUCUUUCAAAAACUUGUCAAGGUAUUUUCUCAUUGAAAAAUCUUAUCAAGCGUCUUGAUCUAUCUCUAUAGAUCUUGAUGCCCAAUAUGUAAGCAGCUUCACCGAGGUCUUUCAUUGAAAAACUCUUUUUCAUGUAUCCCUUUAUGCUAUCCAGAAAUUCUAUAUCAUUUCCAAUCAACAAUAUGUCAUCCACAUAUAAUAUUAGAAAUGCUACAGAGCUCCCACUCGUUUUCUUGUAAAUACAGACUUCUCCAAAAGUCCGUAUAAAACCAUAUGCUUCGAUCAACUCAUCAAAGCGUAUAUUCCAACUCCGAGAGGCUUGCACCAGUCCAUAGAUGGAUCACUGGAGCUUGCACACUUUGUUAGCAACUUUAGGAUUGACAAAACCUUCUGGUUGCAUCAUAUACAACUCUUCUUUAAUAAAUCCAUUAAGGAAUGCAGUUUUGACAUCCAUUUGCCAGAUUUCAUAAAAUGUGGCAAUUGCUAACAUGAUUCGGGCAGACUUAAGCAUCAAUACGAGUGAGAAAAUCUCAUCGUAUUCAACACCUUGAACUUGUCGAAAAACUUUUUGCGACAAGUCGAGCUUUGUAGAUAGUAACACUACUAUCAGCGUCUGUCUUCCUCUUGAAGAUCCAUUUAUUUUCUAUGGCUUGCCGAUCAUCGGGCAAGUCCACAAAAGUCCACACUUUGUUCUCAUACAUGGAUACCAUCUCAGAUUUCAUGACCUUCAAGCCAUUUCACGGAAUCAGGGCUCAUCAUCGCUUCCUCAUAGUUCAUAGGUUCAUCAUGGUCUAGUAACAUUACUUCCAGAACAGGAUUACUGUACCACUCUGGUACGGAUCUUACUCUAGAAGACCUAUGAGGUUCGGUAGUAACUUGAUCUGAAGUUUCAUGAUCAUCAUCAUUAGCUUCCUCACUAAUUGGUGUAGGAAUCACUGGAACUAAUUUUUGUGAUGAACUACUUUCCAAUUCGGGAGAAGGUACAAUUACCUCAUCAAGUUCUACUUUCCUCCCACUCACUUCUUUCGAGAGAAACUCCUUCUCUAGAAAGGAUCCAUCUUAGCAACAAAUAUCUUGCCUUCGGAUCUGUGAUAGAAGGUGUACCCAACAGUUUCCUUUGGGUAUUCUAUGAAGACACACUUCUCCGAUUUGGGUUCGAGCUUAUCAUGUUGAAACUUUUUCACAUAAGCAUCGCAACCCCAAACUUUAAGAAACGUCAACUUUGGUUUCUUGCCAAACCACAGUUCAUAAGGCGUCGUCUCAAUGGAUUUUGAUGGUGCCCUAUUUAAAGUGAAUGCAGCUGUCUGCAUAAGCCCAAAACGAUAAUGGUAAAUCGGUAAGAUACAUCAUAGAUCGCACCAUAUCCAAUAAAGUCCGGUUACGAUGUUCGGGCACACCAUUACGCUGUGGUGUUCCAUGUGGCAUGAGCUGUGAAACUAUUCCACAUUGUUUUAAUGAAGGCCAAACUCGUAACUCAAAUAUUCUCCUCUACGAUCAGAUUGUAGAAACUUUAUUUUCUUGUUACAAUGAUUCUCCACUUCACUCUGAAAUUCUUUGAACUUUUCGAAUGUUUUAGACUUGUGCUUCAUUAAGUAGAUAUACCCAUAUCUGCUCAAAUCAUCUGUGAAGGUCAGAAAAUAACAAUACCCACCACGAGCAUCAACACUCAUUGGACCGCAUACUUCGGUAUGUAUUAUGUGCAACAAGUCAGUAGCUCGUUCCAUUGUUCCGGAUAAUGGAGUUUUAGUCAUCUUGCCCAAAAGGCACAGUUCAUAAGCAUCAAAUGAUUCAUAACCAAGUGAUUCCAAAAAUCCAUCUUUAUGGAGUUUCUCCAUGCGCUUUACACUGAUAUGACCCAAACGGUAGUGCCACAAAUAAGUUGCACUAUCAUUAUCAACUUUGCAUCUUUUGGCAUCAAUAUUAUGAGUAUGUGUAUCACUACGAUCGAGAUCCAACAAACUAUUUUCAUUGGGUGUAUGACCAUCGAAGGUUUUAUUCAUGUAAACAGAACAACAAUUAUUCUCUGACUUUAAAUGAAUAACCGUAUUGCAAUAAACAUGAUCAAAUCAUAUUCAUGCUCAACGCAAACACCAAAUAACAUUUAUUUAGGUUUAACACUAACCCCGAAAGUAUACGAAGUGUGCGAUGAUGAUCAUAUCAAUCUUGGAACCACUUCCGACACACAUCGUCACUUCACCCUCAACUAGUCUCUGUUUAUUCUGUAACUCAUGUUUCGAGUUACUAAUUUUUAGCAACCGAACAAGUAUCAAAUACCCAGGGGUUACUACGAGCACUAGUAAGGUGCACAUAAUAAUAUGUAUAUCAAAUAUACCUUUGUUCACUUUGCCAUCCUUCUUAUCCACCAAGUAUUUGGGGCAUUUCUACUUCAAGUGACCAUUUCCUUUGCCAUAGAAGCACUCAGUUUCAGGCUUUGGUUCAACUUUGGGCUUCUUCAUGGGAGAGACAACUUGCUUGCCAUUCUACUUGAAGUUUCCCUUUCUUUCCCUUUGCCCUUUUCUUGAAACUAGUGGUCUUGUCAAUCAUCAACACUUUGAUACUCUUUCUUGAUUUCCACCUUCGUCGAUUUCAGCAUCACGAAGAGCUCGGGAUUCAUUUUCGUCAUCCCUUGCAUACUAUAGUUCAUCACGAAGUUCCAGUAAGUUGGUGAUGGUGACUAGAGAACUCUGUCAAUCACUAUCUUAUCUGGAAGAUUAACUCCCACUUGAUUCAAGUCAUUGUAGUACCCAGACAUUCUGAGCACAUGCUCACUAGUUGAGCAAUUCUCCUCCAUCCUUUUUAGGCAAAGUACUUCUCAGAGGUCUCAUACCUCUUAACGGGGGCAUGAGUCUGAAAUACCAAUUUCAGCUCUUGGAGCAUCUCAUAUGCUCCGUGACAUUUCAAAAACGUUUCUGAAGUCGCGUUUCUAAGCCGUAAAGCAUGGUGCACUAAACUAUCAAGUAGUCACCAUAUUGAGCUAGCCAAACGUUCAUAACAUCUGCAUCUGCUCCUGCAAUAGGUCUGUCACCUAGCGGUGCAUCAAGGACAUAAUUUUUCUGUGCAGCAAUGAGGAUAAUCCUCAGAUCAUGGACCUAGUCCGCAUCAUUGCUACUAACAUCUUUCAACAUAGUCUUCUCUAGGAACACAUAUAAAAACAUAGGGAAGCAACAACGCGAGCUAUUGAUCUACAACAUUAUUUGCAAAAUACUAUCGGGACUAAGUUAAUGAUAAAUUAAUGUUCAAUUAAUCAUAUUACUUAAGAACUCCCACUUAGAUAGACAUCCCUCUAGUCAUCUAAAUGAUUAUGUGAUCCAAAUCAACUAAACCAUGUCUGAUCAUCACGUGAGAUGGAGUAGUUUUCAAUGGUGAACAUCACUAUGUUGAUCAUAUCUACUAUAUGAUUUACACUCGACCUUUCGGUCUCAGUGUUCCGAGGCCAUAUCUGCAUAUGCUAGGCUCGUCAAGUUUAACCCGAGUAUUUCUGCAUGUGCAGAACUGGCUUGCACCCGUUGUAUGUGGACGUUGAGCUUAUCACACCCGAUCAUCACGUGGUGUCUCAGCACGACGAACUUUGGCAAUGGUGCAUACUCAGGGAGAACACUUAUACCUUGAAAUUUUAGUAAGGGAUCAUCUUAUAAAGCUACCGCCGAACUAAGCAAAAUAAGAUGUAUAAAAGAUAAACAUCACAUUCAAUCAAAAUAUGUGACAUGAUAUGGCCAUCAUCGUCUUGUGCCUUUGAUCUCCAUCUCCAAAGCAUCGUCAUGAUCUCCAUCGUCACCGGCAUGACACCAUGAUCUCCAUCAUCUUGAUCUAUAUCAAUGUGUCGUCACAUGGUCAUCUUGCCAACUAUUGCUCUUGCAACUAUUGCUAUCGCAUAGCGAUAAAGUAAAGCAAUUAUUUGGCGCUUGCAUCUUAUGCAAUAAAGAGACAACCAUAAGGCUUCUGCCAGUUGCCGAUAACUUCAACAAAACAUGAUCAUCUCAUACAACAACUUAUAUCUCAUCACGUCUUGACCAUAUCACAUCACAACAAGCCCUGCAAAAACAAGUUAGACAUCCUCUACUUUGUAGUUGCAUGUUUUACGUGGCUGCUAUGGGCUGAGCAAGAACCGUUCUUACAUAAGCAUCAAAACCACAACGAUAUUUCGUCAAGUUAGUGAUGUUUGAACCUUCAUCAAGGACCGGGUGUAGCUACACUUGAUUCAACUAAAGUUGGAGAAACUGACACCCGCCAGCCACCUAUGUGCAAAGCACGUCAGUAGAACCAGUCUCGCGUAAGCGUACGCGUAAUGUCGGUUCGGGCCGCUUCGUCCAACAAUACCGCUGAAUCAAAGUAUGACAUGCUGGUAAGCAGUAUGACUUGUAUCGUCCACAACUCACUUGUGUUCUACUCGUGCAUAUAACAUCUACGCAUAAACCUGGCUCGGAUACCACAGUUGGGGAACGUAGUAAUUUCAAAAAAAUUCCUACGAUCACACAAGAUCUAUCUAUGUGAUGCAUAGCAACGAGAGGGGGAGUGUAUCUUCAUACCCUUGAAGAUCGCUAAGCGGAAGCGUUUUAUCAAUGCGGUUGAUGUAGUCAUACACCUUCACGAUCCGCCCCGAUCAAGUAUAGAAUGUACGGCACCUCCGCGUUCAGCACAUGUUCAGCUCGAUGACGUCCUCGCCUUCUUGAUCCAGCAAGACGGCGAAGUAGUAGAUGAGUUCCGGCAGCACGACAGCGUGAUGACGGCGUUGGUGAAGAACAAUCUCCGCAGAGCUUCGCCUAAGCACUACGGAAACUAUGACAGAGGAUAAACUAGAGGGGACGGGGUUGCCGGCACAUGGCUUGGUGUUUCUUGAUGUGUCUUUGGUGCUAGCCCUGCCCCUCUAUUUAUAUGUUGAGCCUUGUGGUUGAAACUUGGAGUAAAAGCCUCCACAAAGUUGGUUUCACCCGAAAGGCAAGAGUCCUUCUUGGACUCCAGGGCCAGACACCAGGGUUCCCGGUGUCUAGACCCAGACGCCAGCUGGACUCUGCAAAACUUCCUUUUGCGCUUUCCAAAAACCUCAUGGGCUUUCCCCUUUGGCCCAAAUAAAGUGUUCUCGUACCCAAACAUUACGGGAAACAUCCGGAACCCUUUCCGGUGAAUUCUGGAACCCUUCCGGAGACCAAACACUAUUAUCCCAUAUAUCAAUCUUUAUCUCUGGACCAUUUCGGAGUUCCUCGUCAUGUCCGUGAUCAUAUCCGGGACUCCAAACAACAUUCGGUCACCAACAUACAUAACUCAUAUAAUACUAUAUCGUCAACGAACGUUAAGCGUGCAGACCCUACGGGUUCGAGAACUUUGUAGACAUGACCGAGACACCUCUCUCGUCAAUAACCAAUAGUGGAACCUGGAUGCCCAUAUUGGCUCCUACAUAUUCUACGAAGAUCUUUAUCGGUCGAACCGCAUAACAACAUACGUUGUUCCUUUUGUCAUCGGUAUGUUACUUGCCUGAGAUUCGAUCGUCGGUAUCUCAAUACCUAGCUCAAUCUUGUUACCAGCAAGUCUCUUUACUUGUUACGUAAUGCAUCAUCCCGCAACUAACUCAUUAGUCACAUUGGUUGCAAGGCUUAUAGUGAUGUGCAUUAUCGAGAGGGCCCAGAGAUACCUCUCCGACAAUCGGAGUGACAAAUCCUAAUCUCGAUCUAUGCCAACUCAACAAGUACCAUCGGAGACACCUGCAGAGCACCUUUAUAAUCACCCAGUUACAUUGUGACAUUUGGUAGCACACAAAGUGUUCCUCCGGUAAUUGGGAGUUGCAUAAUCUCAUUGUUGUAGGAACAUGUACAAGUCAUGAAGAAAGCAAUAGCAGUAAACUAAAACGAUCGAGUGCUAAGCUAACGGAAUGGGUCAAGUCAAUCACAUCAUUCUCCCAAUGAUGUGAUCCCGUUUAUCAAAUGACAACUCAUGUCUAUGGUUAGGAAACCUUAACCAUCUUUGAUCAAUGAGCUAGUCAAGUAGAGGCAUACUAGUGACACUCUGUUUGUCUAGGUAUUCACACAUGUACUAAGUUUCCGGUUAAUACAAUUCUAGCAUGAAUAAUAAACAUUUAUCAUGAUAUAAGGAAAUAUAAAUAACAAAUUUAUUAUUGCCUCUAGGGCAUAUUUCCUUCAACUACUCCCUCCUCAUCAUGGUGGCUGUCGGGAUGAUGAAGAUGGCCUUUGGUGAUGAUUUCCCCCUCCGGCAGAGUGUCGGAACAGGUUCCUGAUUAGUUUUUCGUGGCUACAGAGGCUCGCGGCGGCGGAACAUCUGGUUUAGUGUUAUUUCCGGGGGUUUCUUUAUUUAUAGGAUUCUUUAGCGUCGGUCUUACGUCUAGAUGGGCUUCGAGGGGCCCGCUACCAUCCAGCACAUGCCGGAGGGGGCAGUCGCACGCUGGUGGGUAGUGGCCACCUCCUGGCUCUUCUGGCCCUCCCAUGAAGCUUCUAGUGCCUCUUCUCUUGGAAAAAAAUCGUCAAAAAGUUUUGCUGCAUUUGGAGAACUUUGAUUUCUGCACAAAAAACAACACCACGGUAGUUCUGCUGAAAACAACGUCAGUCCAGGUUAGUUUCAUUUAAAUCAUAUAAAAUUGCGCCCAAACCAUAUAAAAUUGUUGUAAACAUGGCAUGAAUACUUCAUAAAUUAUAGAUACGUUGGAGACGUAUCAGGAAGCAAUCUCAGAAAAUGUAGAAUCACAUAAUUAAAGUGAUAAUCACCUACCAUAAAAGAAGGAAGCAAAAUGGGCAAAGAGGCAAUUGUCGCAGAACCACCAGAGCAAAAGAUGACGUUCCAUACGACCGCGCCCGCCCGUAUGAGCGGUCAUAUGGAGAGUCAUCGCCAUCGCCUUGUCAACUAUAUUCACCCCCAUGAAGACAGAUCGUGGAUCAGACACCGAGAGACACCAGAAACUCGUCAAGAAGCAGGAACCCUAGCUGCCAGAGUGAUCUCGAGGAAGGAUACUACAAAAGGGAGGCCGCCGCCUCCACCAUCUUCAUCCAGAAGGCUCCAACAUCAUCCCCACUAUCAUCAUCAUCUUCAUUCACCUCUCCCUUAUUGUAACCUCGAGAAUCCUAAACGGGCGCUACUUGUGUGUUACAUGUGUGAUUUGUUCAUGUCCUUUAUGCUCUGGUGUUAUGAUGAUUGUUGCCUUCAUGAGUGUGUAGAUCCCUUAGUUCUCCGGAAUAGGGAAGAACCCUGGUGUGUAAUAGAUCAUUGAUAUUAGGAUUUAAUAUCCUAUUUGCAUGUUCAUGUCAAUAGUCUUCUUGACGUUGGGUGAAAUCGACCAUCUAACGGUAUGCCAAUUUUGGACGGAAGGUUAUUACUGUUGGCAGACCUAUUAGGAAACGUAACAUGCAAUUUCAAAAAAUUUCCUACACUAACGCAAGAUCUAUCUAGGAGAUGCAUAUCAAUGAGAGGGGGAGAGUGUGUCUAUGUACCCUCGUAGACCAAAAGCAGAAGCGUCUGACAACAUGGUUGAUGUAGUCGAACUUCUUCUAGCUCCGACCGAUCAAGUUCUGAACGCAUGUCACCUCCGAGUUCUACACACGUUCAACUCAAUGAUGUUCCUUGCCCUCUUGAUCUACCAAGGUAUCGAGGAAGUAGAUGAGUUCCGUUAGCAUGAAGGCAUGGUGACGGUGAUGGUGAAGUGAUACACGCAGGGCUUCGCCUAAGCACCACGACAAUAUGACCGGGGGUGUAAACUGUGGAGUGGGGCGCCGCGCAUGGCUAACAGUUGAUGUUAUCUAUUGUAGGCGCCCCCUCCCCACAUAUAUAUAGGUUGGAGUGGACGAGAGGCAGCCAAGGGGUCACCCCAAGUAGGUCGAAUCCUACUUGGGGUCCUCCCCAAUUCGGCCUCCCCCCUUCCAUAAUUGUCGAGGGGGAAAAGGAAGGAGGAAGGAGAAAAGGAAAGGGGGGCCGAAUCCCCUCUUUCCCUUCUCCCACUCGGCCUCCUUCCANNNNNNNNNNNNNNNNNNNNNNNNNNNNNNNNNNNNNNNNNNNNNNNNNNNNNNNNNNNNNNNNNNNNNNNNNNNNNNNNNNNNNNNNNNNNNNNNNNNNNNNNNNNNNNNNNNNNNNNNNNNNNNNNNNNNNNNNNNNNNNNNNNNNNNNNNNNNNNNNNNNNNNNNNNNNNNNNNNNNNGAUAAAUACCCGAUAUACUCCGGAACAAUUCUGGUGUCCGAAUACUAUCAUUCCAUAUAUCAAUAUAUACCUCUCGACCAUUUCGAGACUCCUCUUCAUGUCUGUAAUCUCAUCCAGGACUCCGAACAACAUUCAGUAACCAAAUUACAUAACUCAUAUAAUACAAUAUUGUCAUCAAACGUUAAGCGUGCGGACCCUACGGGUUCGAGAACUAUGUAGACAUGACCAAGACACCUCUUCGGUCAAUAACCAAUAGUGGAACCUGGAUGCUCGUAUAGGAUUCCACAUAUUCUACGAAGAUCUUUAUCGGUUGAACCAUUAUGACAACAUACGCUAUUCCCUUUGUCAUUGAUAUGUUACUUGCCCGAGAUUCGAUCAUCGGUAUCUUCAUACCUAGUUCAAUCUCGUUACCGGCAAGUCUCUUUACUAGUUCCGUAAUACAUCAUCCUAUAACUAACUCAUUAGUCACUUUGCUUGCAAGGCUUCUUAUGAUGUGUAUUACCGAGAGGGCCCAGAGAUACCUCUCCGAUACUCGGAGUGACAAAUCCUAAUCUCGAUCUAUGCCAACCCAACAAACACCUUCGGAGAUACCCGUAGAGCAUCUUUAUAAUCACACAAUUAUGUUGUGAUGUUUGAUAGCACAUAAGGCAUUCCUCUGGUAUCCGGGAGUUGCAUAAUCUCAUAGUCGGAGGAAUAUGUAUUUGACAUGAAGAAAGCAAUAGCAAUAAAACUGAAUGAUCAUAGUGCUAAGCUAACGAGUGGGUCUUGUUCAUCACAUCAUUCUCCUAAUGAUGUGAUCCUAUUUAUCAAAUGACAACACAUGUCUAUGGUUAGGAAACUUAACCAUCUUUGAUCAACGAGCUAGUCUAGUAGAGGCUUACUAGGGACACAAUAUUUUGUCACCUCCACAUGUAUCCACACAUGUAUCAAGUUUCCGGUUAAUACAAUUCUAGCAUGAAUAACAAACAUUUAUCAUGAAAUAAGGAAAUAUAUUAGAUAACAACUUUAUUAUGGCCUCUAGGGCAUAUUUCCUUCAGUCUCCCACUUGCACUAGAGUCAAUAAUCUAUAUUACAUUGUAAUGAUUCUAACACCCAUGGAGUCUUGGUGUUGAUCAUGUUUUUCUCGUGGAAGAGGCUUAGUCAACGGGUCUGCUAUAUUUAGAUCCGUAUAUAUCUUGCAAAUCUCUAUGUCUCCCUCCUUGACCAGAUCACGGAUGGAGUUGAAGCGUCUCUUGAUGUGUUUGGUCUUUUUGUGAAAUCUGGAUUCCUUUGCUAAGGCAAUUGCUCCAGUAUUGUCACAAAAGAUUUUCAUUGGACCUGAUGCACUAGCUAUUACACCUAGAUCGGAUAUGAAGUCCUUCAUCUAGACUCCUUCAUUUGCUGGUUCCGAAGCAGCUAUGUACUCUGCUUCACACGUAGAUCUUGCCACGACGCUAUGCUUGGAACUGCACCAACUGACAACUCCGCCAUUCAAUAUAAAUACGUAUCCGGUUUGUGACUUAGAGUCAUCCGGACCAGUGUCAAAACUAGCAUUGACGUAACCAUUUACGACGAGCUCUUUGUCACCUUCAUAAACGAAAAGCCUAUCCCUGGUCCUCUUCAGGUACUUCAGGAUAUUCUUGAUCACUAUCCAGUGAUCCACUCCUGGAUUACUUUGGUACCUCCCUGCCAGACUUAUGGCAAGGCACACAUCAGGUCUGGUAUACAACAUAGCAUACAUUAUAGAACCUAUGGCUGAGGUACAGGGAAUGACUUUCAUUUUCUCUCUAUCUUCUGCAGUGGUCGGGCAUUUAGUCUGACUCAAUUUCACACCUUGUAACACAGGCAAGAACCAUUUCUUUGACUGGUCCAUUUUGAACUUCUUCAAAACUUUAUCAAGGUAUGUGCUUUGUGAAAUUCCUAUUAAGCGUCUUGAUCUAUCUCUAUAGAUCUUGAUGCCCAAUAUAUAAGCAGCUUCACCGAGGUCUUUCAUUGAAAAACUUUUAUUCAAGUAUCCUUUUAUGCUAUCCAGAAAUUUUACAUCAUUUCCAAUCAACAAUAUGUCAUCCACAUAUAAUAUUAGAAAUGCUACAAAGCACCCGCUCACUUUCUUGUAAAUAGAGGCUUCUCCAAAAGUCUGUAUAAAACCAUAUGCUUCAAUCACCUCAUCAAAGCGUAUAUCCCAUCUCCGAGAUGCUUGCACCAGUCCAUAGAUGGAUCGCUGGAGCUUGCACACUUUGUUAGCACCUUUAGGAUCAAGAAAACCUUCUGGUUGGAUCAUAUACAACUCUUCUUUAAGAAAUCCAUUAAGGAAUGCAGUUUUGAUGUCCAUUUGCCAGAUUUCAUAAUCAUAAAAUGCGGCAAUUGCUAACAUGAUUCAGACAGACUUAAGCAUCGCUAUGGGUGAGAAAGUCUCAUCGUAGUCAGCUUCUUGAACUUGUCGAAAACCUUUUGUGACAAGUAGAGCUUUAUAGACAGUAACAUUACCAUGAGCGUUGGUCUUCUUCUUGAAGAUCCAUUUAUUCUCUAUGGGUUGCCGAUCAUUAGGUAAAUCUACCAAAGUCCACACUUUGUCCUCAUACAUGGAUCCUAUCUCGGCAUGGCCUCAAGCCAUUUAUCGGAAUCUGGGCUCAUCAUAGCUUCUUCAUAGUUCAUAGGUUCGUCAUGGUCUAGUAACAUGACUUCCAGAAUAGGAUUACCGUACCACUCUGGUGCGGAUCAUGCUCUAGUUGACCUACGAGGUUCAGUAGUAACUUGAUCUGAAGUUUCAUGAUCAUCAUCAUUAGCUUCCUCUCUAGUUGGUGUAGGCAUCACGGGAACGGAUUUCUCUGAUGAGCUACUUUCCAAAUCGAAAGAAGGUACAAUUACCUCAUCAAGUUCUACUUUUCUCCCACUCACUUCUUUCGAUAGAAACUCCUUCUCUAGAAAGGUUCCAUUCUUGGCAACAAGGAUCUUACCUUCGGAUCUAUGGUAGAAGGUGUACCCAAUUGUUUCCUUAGGGUAUCCUAUGAAGACACACUUCUCCAAUUUGGGUUCGAGCUUAUCAGGCGGAAGCCUUUUGACAUAAGUGUAGCAACCCCAAACUUUAAGAAACGACAACUUAGGUUUAUUGCCAAACCACAGUUCAUACGGUGUCGUCUCAACAGAUUUAGACGGUGCCCUAUUUAACGUGAAUGCAGUUGUCUCUAAUGCAUAACCCCAAAACGAUAGUGGUAAAUCAGUAAGAGACAUAAUAUAUCGCACCAUAUCUAAUAAAGUACGGUACGAUGUUCGGACACACCAUUACGCUGUGGUGUUCCAGGUGGCGUGAGUUGUGAAACUAUUCCACAUUGUUUUAAAUGAAGGCCAAACUCGUAACUCAAAUAUUCACCUCCGCGAUCAGAUCAUAGAAACUUCAUUUUCUUGUUACGAUGAUUCUCCACUUCACUUUGAAAUUCUUUGAACUUUUCAAAUGUUUCAAACUUGUGUUUCAUUAAGUAGAUAUACUCAUAUCUGAUCAAAUCAUCUAUGAAGGUCAGAAAUAACAAUACCCGCUGCGAGCCUCAACACUCAUCGAACCACAUACAUCGGUAUGUAUUAUUUCCAAUAAGUCAUUGGCUCACUCCAUUGUUCCGGAGAACGGAGUUUUAGUCAUCUUGCCCAUAAGGCAUGGUUCGCAAGUAUCAAGUGAUUCAUAAUUAAGUGAUUCCAAAAGUCCAUCUGCAUGGAGUUUCUUCAUGCGCUUUACACCAAUAUGACCUAAACAGUAGUGCCAUAAAUAUGUUGCACUAUCAUUAUCAACUUUGCAUCUUUUGGCAUCAAUAUUAUGAAUAUGUGUAUGACUACAAUCGAGAUUCAACAAAAAUAGACCACUCUUCAAGGGUGCAUGACCAUAAAAGAUAUUACUCAUACAAAUAGAACAACCAUUAUUCUCUGAUUUAAAUGAAUAACUGUCUCACACUAAACAAGAUCCAGAUAUAAUGUUCAUGCUCAACACUGGCACCAAAUAACAAUUAUUCAGGUCCAAAACUAACUCCGAAGGUAGGUGUAGAGGUAGUGUGCCGACGGCGAUCACGUCAUCUUUGGAACCAUUCCCGACGCGCAUGUCGCCUCGUCCUUAGCCAAUCUUCGUUUAAUCCGUAGUCCCUGUUUUGAGUUAAAAAUAUGAGCAACCGAACCGGUGUCAAAUACCUAGGCACUACUAUGAGCAUUAGUAAGGUACACAUCAAUAACAUAUAUACCAAAUACACCUUUGUUCACUUUGCCAUCCUUCUUAUCCGCCAAAUACUUGGGGCAGUUCCGCUUCUAGUGACCAGUCCCUUUGUAGUAGAGGCACUCAAUUUUAGGCUUGGGUACAACUUUGGGCUUCUUCCCGGGAGUGGCAACUUGCUUGCCAUUCUUCUUGAAGUUCCCCUUCUUUCCCUUGCCCCUUUUCUUGAAACUAAUGGUCUUGUUAACCAUCAACACUUGAUGCUCAUUCUUGAUUUCUACCUCUGCAGCUUUGAGCAUAGCGAAGAGCUCGGGAGUUGUUUUCUCCAUCCCUUGCAUAUUAUAGUUCAUCACGAAGCCUUUGUAGCUUGGUGGCAGUGACUGGAGAACUAUGUCGAUAAUACUAUCAUCUGGAAGAUUAACUCCCAGCUGAGUCAAGUGAUUAUGAUAUCCAGACAUUCUGAGUAUGUGUUCACUGACAGAAUUGUUCUCCUCCAUCUUGCAGCUAUAGAACUUGUUGGAGACUUCAAAUAUCUCAACUCGGGCAUUUGCUUGAAAUAUUAACUUCAACUCUUGGAACAUCUCAUAUGCUCCAUGACAUUCAAAACCUCUUUGAAGUCCCGAUUCUAAGACGUAAAGCAUGGCAUACUAAACUAUCGAGUAGUCAUCAGAUCAAGCUUUCCAGACAUUCAAAACAUCAGCAUCUGCUCUUGUAGCAGGCCUUUCACCUAGCGGUGCAUCAAGGACAUAAUUCUUCUAUGCAGCAAUGACCCAGUCCGUGUAGUUGCUACCAUCAUCUUUCAACUUAGCUUUCUCUAGGAACGCAUUAAUAUUCAAGGGAACGGUAGCACGGGCCAUUGAUAUACAACAUAGAUAUGCAAAUACUACCAGGACUAAGUUCAUGAUAAAUUAAGUUCAAUUUAUCAAAUUACUUAAGAACUCCCACUUAGAUAGACAUCCCUCAAGUCAUCUAAAUGAUACGUGAUCCAAAUCAAAUAAACCAUGUCCGAUCAUCACGUGAGAUGGAGUAGUCAUCAAUGGUGAACAUCUUUAUGUUGAUCAUAUCUACUAUAUGAUUCACAUUUGACCUUUUGAUCUCCAGUGUUCUAAGGCCAUGUAUGUACAUGCUAGGCUCGUCAAGUUUAACCCAAGUAUUCCGCAUGUGCAAAACUGUCUUGCACCCGUUGUAUGUGAACGUAGAGCUGUCACACCCGAUUAUCACGUGGUGUCUCAGCACGACGAACUGUCUCAACGGUGCAUACUCAGUGAGAACACAUAUACCUUGAAAUUUAGUUAAGGGAUCAUCUUAUAAUGCUACCGUUGUACUAAGCAAAAUAAGAUGCAUAAAGAUAAACAUCACAUGCAAUCAAAAUAUGUGACAUGAUAUGGCCAGCAUCAUCUUGUGCUUUUGAUCUCCAUCUCCAAAGCAUCGUCAUGAACUCCAUUAUCACCGGCUCGACACCUUGAUCUCCAUCAUUGCGUCGUGGUCAUCUCUCCAACUAUUGCUUCUACAACUAUCGCUACCGCUUAGUGAUAAAGUAAAGCAAUUACAUGGCGUUUGCAUUUCAUACAAUAAAGAGGAGACAACCAUAAGGCUCCUGCCGGUUGCCGAUAACUUUUGCAAAAUGUGAUCAUGUCAUACAAUAAUGUAUAUCACAUCAUGUCUUAACCAUAUCACAUCAAAAGCAUGCCCUGCAAAAACACGUUAGACGUCCUCUAUUUGUUGUUGCAAGUUUUACAUGACUGCUACGGGCUUCUAGCAAGAACCAUUCUUAUUUACAGCACAAAAACCACAACAGUGAUUUAUCAAGUUUGCUGUUUUAACCUUCAACAAGGACCAACGGCAGUCAAAUUUGAUUCAACUAAAGUAGGAGAAACAUACACUCACCAGCCACCUUUAUGCAAAACUAGUUGCAUGUCUAUCGGUGGAACGAGUCUCAUGAACAUGGUCAUGUAAGGUUGGUCUGGGCAGCUUCAUCCAACAAUACUGCCGAAUCAAAAUAAAGACAUUGGUGGUAAGCAGUACAAUGAUCACCGCCCACAACUCCUUGUGUUCUACUCGUGCAUAUCAUCUAUGCAUAAACCUGGCUCUGAUACCACUAUUGGGAAACGUAGCAUGCAAUUUCAAAAGAAUUCCUACGCUCAUGCAAGAUCUAUCUAGGAGAUGCAUAGCAAGGAGAGGGGGAGAGAGUGUCUACCUACCCUCAUAGACCAAAAGCGGAAGCGUUUGACAACGCGGUUGAUGUAGUCAAACUUCUUCUAGCUCCGACCGAUCAAGUACCGAACGCACAGCCCCUCCAAGUUCUACACAUGUUCAGCUCGAUGAUGUUCCUCACCCUCUUGAUCCAGAAAGGUGUCGAGGAAGUAGAUGAGUUCCGUCAUCACGACGGUGUUGUGACGGUGAUGGUGAAGUGAUUCACGCAGGGCUUCGCCUAAGCACAACGAUAAUAUGACCGGGGGUGUAAACUAUGGAGGGGGGCGCCGCACAUGGCUAACAGUUGAUGUUAUCUAUUGUAGGCGCCCCCUCCCCACAUAUAUAUAGGUUGGAGGGGAGGAGAGGCAGCUAAGGAGGCUCCCCAAGUAGGCCGAAUCCUACUAGGGGUCCUCCCCAAUUCAGCCUCCUGUUGGGGAACGUAGCAUGCAAUUUCAAAAAAAAUCCUACAAUCACGCAAGAUCUAUCUAGGAGAUGCAUAGCAACGAGAGGGGGAGAGUGUGUCCACAUACCCUCGUAGAUCGAAAGCGGAAGCGUUAGUUAACGUGAUUGAUGUAGUCGAACGUCUUCAGGAUCCAACCAAUCCAAGUACCGUCCGUACGACACCUCCGAGUUCAGCACACGUUCAGCUCGAUGACGUCCCUCAAACUCUUGAUCCAGCAGAGGGUCGAGGGAGAGUUUUGUCAGCACGACAGCAUGGUGACGGUGUUGAUGAUGUGAUCUACGCAGGGCUUCGCCUAAGCACUACGAUGAUAUUAUCGGAGGAGUAAAUGAUGGAGGGGGGCACCGCACACGGCUAAGACAAUGUUGUGUCUUUGGGGUGCCCCCCUGACCCCGUAGAUAAAGGACUGAGGAGGAGGCCGCCACCAGGGGCGUGCCAAGGGAGGGGGUAGUCCUACUAGGACUCCACUCCUUGUAGGAUACGCCCCCCUCUUUUUUUCCUUCAUACGGAGGUGGAAAGGGGGAAGGAGAGGGAGUAGGAGAAGGAAAGGGGGAGGCGCCCCCUUUCCCUAGUCCAAUUCGGCCUCCUCCCUUGUGGGGGGUGCACCAGCCCCUUGUGGGCUGGUUAGCCUCCCUCCGAUGGCCCAUAUGGCCCAUAUCUUCCAUCGAGGGGUCCUGGUAACCCUUCCGGCACUCCGGUUUGUACCCGAUACACUCCGGAACCCUUCUAGUGUCCGAAUACCACCUUCCAAUAUAUCAAUCUUUACCUCUCAACCAUUUCGAGACUCCUCAUCAUGUCCGUGAUCUCAUCCGGGACUCCGAACAAACUUCGGUCAUCAAAACACAUAACUCAUAAUACAAAUCGUCAUUGAGCGUUAAGCGUGCGGACCCUACGGGUUUGAGAACUAUGUAGACAUGACCGAGACACAUCUCCGGUCAAUAACCCAUAGCGUAAUCUAGAUGCUCAUAUUGGCUUCUACAUAUUGUACGAAGAUCUUUAUCGGUCAAACUGCACAACAACAUACGUUGUUCCCUUUGUCAUCGGUAUGUUACUUGCCCGAGAUUCGAUCAUUGGUAUCAUCAUACCUAGUUCAAUCUUGUUACCGGCAAGUCUCUUUACUCGUUCUGUAAUGCUUCAUCCCGCAACUAACUCAUUAGUUCCAUUGCUUGCAAGGCUUAGAGUGAUGAGCAUUACCGAGAUGGCCCAGCGAUACCUCUCCGAUACACGGAGUGACAAAUCCUAUUCUCGAUAUAUGCCAACCCAACUAACUCCUUCGGAGACACCUGUAGAGAAUUAUUAUAAUCACACAUUUACGUUGUGACAUUUUAUAGCACACAAGGUGUUCCUCCUGUAUUCGGGAGUUGCAUAAUCUCGUAGUCAUAGGAACAUGUAUAAGUCAUGAAGAAAGCAAUAGCAAUAAAACUUAUCAAUCAUUAUGCUAAGCUAAUGGAUGGGUCUUGUCCAUCACAUCAUUCUCUAAUGAUGUGAUCCAGUUUAUGAAAUGACAACACAUGUCUAUGGUCAGGAAACAUAACCAUCUUUGAUUAACGAGCUAGGCAAGUAGAGGCAUACUAGGGAUACUUUGUUUUGUCUAUGUAUUCACACAUGUACUAAGUUUCGGGUUAAUACAAUUCUAGCAUGAAUAAUAAACAUUUAUCAUGGUAUAAGGAAAUAUAAAUAACAACUUUAUUAUUGCCUCUUAGGGCAUAUUUUCUUCAGUCUCCCACUUGCACUAGAGUCAAUAAUCUAGUUCACAUCGCCAUGUGAUUUAACACCAAUAGUUCACAUCUGUAUGUGAUUAACACCUAUAGUUCACAUCACCAUGUGACCAACAACCAAAGGGUUUACUAGAGUUAAUAAUCUAGUUCACAUCACUAUGUGAUUAACACCCAAAGAGUACUAAGGUGUGAUCAUGUUUUGCUUGUGAGAGAAGUUUAGUCAACGGGUCUGCUAAAUUCAGAGCCGUAUGUAUUUUGCAAAUUUUCUAUGUCUACAAUGCUCUGCAUGGGGCUACUCUAGCUAAUUGCUCCCACUUUCAAUAUGUAUCCAUAUGGAGACUUAGAGUCAUCUGGAUCGGUGUAAAGCUUACAUCGACGUAACUCUUUACGAAGAACUCUUUAUCACCUCCAUAACCGAGACAUACUUCCUUAGUCCUCUUAGGUAACUAAGGAUAGCUUUGACUGCUAUAUAGUGAUCCACUCCUGGAUCACUAUCGUACCCCCUUGCCAAACUCAUAGUAAGGCACACAACUUGUCUGGUACAUAACAUGGCAUAUUUUAUAGAACCUAUGACUGAGGCAUAGGGAAUGACUUUCAUUCUCUUUCUAUCUUCUGCUGUGGUCGGGCUUUGAGUCUUACUCAACUUUACACCUUGUAAUAUAGGCAAUAACUCAUUUGACUGAUCCAUUUUGAACUCUUUCAAAAUCUUGUCAAGGUAUGUACCCAUUGAAAAAUCUUAUCAAGCAUCUUGAUAUAUUUCUAUAGAUCUUGAUGCCCAAUAUGUAAGCAGCUUCACCGAGGUCUUUCUUUGAAAAUCUCCUUUCAGACUCUCCUUUAUGCUUUCCAGAAAAUUCUACAUUGUUUCUGAUCAACAAUAUGUCAUUCACAUAUACUUAUCAGAAAGAAUGUAGUGCUCCCACUCACUUUCUUGUAAAUACAGGCUUCACCGCAAGUCUGUAUGAAACUAUAUGCUUUGAUCAACUCAUCAAAGCGUAUAUUCCAAUCUGAGAUGCUUGCACCAGUCCACAGAUGGAUCGCUGGAGCUCGCACACUUUAUUAGCACCUUUAGGAUUGACAAAACCUUCUGGUUGCAUCAUAUACAACUCUCCUCAGAGAUAUCCAUUUAAGGAAUGCAAUUUUGACAUCCAUUUGCGAGAUUUCAUAAAAUAUGGCAAUUGCUAACAUGAUUUGAAAGGACUUAAGCAUUGCUACGAUUGAGAAAAUCUCAUUGUAGUCAACAUCUUGAACUUGUCAAAAACCCUUUUGCGACUAGUCAAGCUUUGUAGAUAGUAACACUACCAUUAGCGUCCGUCUUCCUCUUGAAGAUCCAUUUAUUUUCUAUAGAUUACCGAUCAUCGGGCAAGUCCACCAAAGUCCAUACUUUAUUCCCAUACAUGGAUCCCAUCUCAGAUUUCAUGGCCUCAAGCCAUUUCACGGAAUCUGGGCUCAUCAUCGCUUCCUCAUAGUUCGUAGGUUCAUCAUGGUCUAGUAGCAUGACUUCCAGAAUAGGAUUACCGUACCACUCUGGUGUGGACCGUACUCUGGUUGACCUAUGAGGUUUGGUAGUAACUUUAUCUGAUGUUUCAUGAUCAUCAUCAUUAGCUUUCUCACUAAUUGGUGUAGGAAUCACUAGAAGUGAUUUCUAUGAUGAACUACUUUCCAAUUCAGGAGAAGGUACAAUUACCUCAUCAAGUUCUACUUCCUCCCACUCACUUCUUUGAAGAGAAACUCCUUCUCUAGAAAGGAUCCAUUCUUAGCAAUGAAUAUCUUGCCUCAGAUCUGUGGUAGAAGAUGUACCCAACAAUUUCCUUUGGGUAUCCUAUGAAGACACACUUCUCCAAUUUGGGUUCGAGCUUAUCAGGUUGAAUCUUUUUCACAUAAGCAUCGCAACCUCAAACUUUAAGAAAUGAUAGCUUAGGUUUGUUGCCAAACCACAAUUCACACGGUGUUGUCUCAACGGAAUUUGACGGUGCCUUUUUUAAUGUGAAGGCAACUGUCUCUAAUGCAUAACCCCAAAACGAUAGUGGUAAAUCGGUAAGAGACAUCAUAGAUCGCACCAUAUCUAAUAAAGUGCGGUUACGAUGUUCGGACACACCAUUACACUGUGGUGUUCAAGGUGGCGUGAGCUAUGAAACUAUUCCACAUUGUUUUAAAUGAAGGCCAAACUCGUAACUCAAAUAUUCACCUCCACAAUCAGAUCGUAGAAACUUUAUUUUUUUGUUACAAUGAUUCUCCACUUCACUCUUUAAUUCUUUGAACUUUUCAAAUGUUUCAGACGUGUGUUUCAUUAAGUAGAUAUACCCAUAUCUGCUCAAAUCAUCUAUGAAGGUCAGAAAUAAUGAUACCUGCCACGAGCCUCAACACUCAUCGGACCGCAUACAUCGGUAUGUAUUAUUUCCAAUAAGUGAUUAGCUCGGUAUAUUGUUCUGGGGAACAAAGUUUUAGUCAUCUUGCCCAUAAGUCACGGUUCGCAAGUAUCAAAUGAUUCAUAAUCAAGUGAUUCCAAAAGCCCAUCAGCAUGGAGUUUCUUCAUGUGAUUUAUACCAAUAUGACCUAAACGGCAGUGCCAUAAGUAUGUUGCACUAUCAUUAUCAACUUUGCAUCUUUUGGCAUCAAUAUUAUGAAUAUGUGUAUCACUACGACCAAGAUUUAGUAAACCAUCAACAUUGGGUGUAUGACCAUAGAAGGUUUUAUUCAUGUAAAUAGAAUAACAGUUAUUCUCUGUCUUAAAUGAAUAACCGUAUUGCAAUAAACACGAUCUAAUCAUAUUCAUGCUUUGACACAAACACCAAAUAACAUUUAUUUAGGUUCAACUCUAAUCCCGAAAGUAUAGGGAUGUGCGAUGAUGAUCAUAUCAAUCUUGGAACCACUUCCAACAUACAUCGUCACUUCGCCCUCAACUAGUCUCUAUUUAUUCUGCAACUCCUGUUUCGAGUUAUUAAUCUUAGCAACUGAACAAGUAUCAAAUACCCAGGGGUUACUACGAGCACUAGUAAGGUAACAUCAAUAACAUGUAUAUCAAAUAUACCUUUGUUCACUUUGCCAUCCUUCUUAUCCACCAAAUAUUUGGGGUAACUCUGCUUCCAGUGACCAUUUCCUUUGUAGUAGAAGCACUUAGUUUCAGGCUUAGGUCCAGCUUUGGGCUUCUUCACGUGAGUGAUAACUUGCUUGCCAUUCUUCUUGAAGUUCCCUUUCUUUCCAUUUGCCCUUUUCUUGAAACUAAUGAUCUUGUUUAAUCAUCAACAAUUGAUGCUUUUUCUUGAUUUCUAUCUUUGUUGAUUUCAGCAUCACGAAGACCUUGGGAAUUGCUUUUGUCAUCCCUUGCAUAUUAUAGUUCAUCAUGAAGUUCUAGUAACUUGGUGAUGGUGACCAGAGAACUCUGUCAAUCACUAUCUUAUCUGAAAGAUUAACUCCCACUUGAUUCAAGCGAUUGUAGUACCCAGACAUUUUGAGCACAUGCUCACUAGCUGAGCUAUUCUCCUCCAUCCUUUUAGGCGAAGUACUUGUCCGAGGUCUCGUACCUCUUUACACGGGUGAGGGAGUCCUGGAUUGAGGGGUCCUCGGGCGUCCGGACUAUUGACAUGGGCCGGACUGAUGGGCUGUGAAGAUACAAGACCGAAGACUCUCUCCCGUGUCCGGAUGGGACUCUCCUUGGCGUGAAAGGCACGCUUGGCGACUGGAUAUGAAGAUUCCUUUCUCUGUAACCGACUUUGUACAACCCUAGUUCCCUUCGGUGUCUAUAUAAACCGGAGGGUUUAGUUCGUAGGGAAGGAUCAUAAUCAUUCAGGCUAGACUUUUAGGGUUUUAGCCAUUACGAUCUCAUGGUAGAUCAACUCUUGUAAUACUCAUAUUCAUCAAGAUCAACCAAGCAGGAAGUAGGGUAUUACCUCCAUAGAGAGGGCCCGAACUUGGGUAACAUUGUGUCCCCCGCCUCCUGUUACCAUCAACCUUAGACGCACAGUUCGGGACCCCCUACCCGAGACCCACCGGUUUUGACACCGACAUUGGUGCUUUCAUUGAGAGUUCCGCUGCGUCGUCACCAAAAGGUUUGAUGGCUCCAUCAAUCAUCUUCAACAAUGUGGCCCUGAGGGAGGUUUUCCUCCCCGGCCAGAUCUUUGUGUUCGGCGGCUUCACACUGCGGGCCAACUCACUUGGCCGUCUAGAGCAGAUCGACAACUGUGCCCCAGGUCACCAGAUUAGUUUUGGGAAUCUGGACUAUGUCGUUGAUAUCCAAGGAGACUUGAUCUUCCAAGGAUUCGCGCCCCCAACCCCCGCUCUGGCCUCAGAUCCGGAGCGCAUCGCUAGGUUCGAAGACAAGCUCCCUAAGCUCGCCGGGCCAUCUGCGGCUUUUAGGCCUGUCGUGUGAGAGCCGGAGGAAGUAGUGUUGCUGGCAACCAUCAUGAAGCCGAACCCUCCUCUGGACACUGGCUCCAAAUCUUCGGAGCCAACACUGUGCAAGCUCGUCCAAGGAGUCUCCUUCUCACUGCACCCAAUGAAUUCCCUUCUCUCGGGCCAAACCUCGCCUUUAAGCGAGGCCCUGGACUUGAUGCGAUCCCUCAUCAUUACAGAGGAGCAACGUCCGAACUAUGCUCAGCCUGGACUAGGGGCUGAGAGCAUGGGAUUUUACAUCCCACCCAGCACCCACUUUAUAGCCAAUGUUGAGAACUUAACAGACAUGCUCGAUUACGACUCUGAAGACAUUGACGGUAUGGAUGAUGAUGCCGCAGAAGAGGAGACCAAAAACCCGCCGUUUACCGGACACGGGAUGGCCACCUCUUCAUAUGAUCUGUACAUGGUGGAUGCACCUAAAGAGAAUAACGGCGACAAUGAAAAAGAUCCAGUCGAGGAUAAUACUCCUGAGAUACGGACAAAGCGCCGGCGUCAGCGGUGCCACUCUAAACCACAUCAUGGAAAAAACAACAAUACUAGCAUAGGGGAAAAUAGUACUCUGGACAAUGCCGAAGACAAUGAAGACCCCAUUGAGCCAACCUCAGUACAGGACUAACAGGAAGAUGGGCAAGUUAGCCCUGAUGAACAGGCCAUGAACAAAGACUCAGAGGACAGUAACUACCUUCCGCUCUCCGAGGAUGAGGUGAGCCUCGGCAACGAGGAUUUUAUCGUGCCUGAGGAACCUCUCAAGCAGGAGCGCUUCAAGCAUCAGCUAAUAGCCACUUCAAGGAGCCUGAAAAAGAAGCAGCAACAACUUCAAGCUGAUCAAGAUCUGCUCAACGAUAGGUGGACUAAUGUCCUAGCAGCCGAAGGGUACGGCCUCAAGCGCCCAACCAAAAGUUACCUGAAGCGCAAAUUGUUACCCCAAUUCGAUGACGAGGCGCUGGAGCCCGUCCUACCAGCGCAUAAUGCGGCUGACCGACCACCAUGUGUCCGGGACGAAGCGGCAACUCGAGCCGAACACCAGCCCGCACUACCUCGGCGUAAAAAUAAAGACACAAUAGCUCGGGGAUACACAUAUGACCCGUGGCAUGACCUGGAAAAUAGAGCAGGCCAGACUAGAUUGAUCUAUGGAUCGCGGGGGUGCGCCCCGAUGCACGAUGAUGGCCAUCCGUCCAGACGCGACAAACAUAAUCACGUCCGGGCCUAAAACCGCAAACAAACUCCAUCCAAGCUACGUCGCGAUAUAGAGGCGCCACACACCCCCUUUGCUUCACUGAUGAAGUAAUGGAACACGAAUUCCCGAAACGGUUUAAACCCAUGAAUAUCGAAUCAUACAAUGGAACAACAGACCCCGCGGUAUGGAUUGAAGAUUUCCUCCUCCAUAUCCACUUGGCCCGCGGCGAUGACCUCCACGCCAUCAAAUACCUCCCAUUAAAACUAAAGGGGCCAACACAACACUGGGUGAACAACCUCCCUGAGAACUCCGUCGGCAGCUGGGAAGACUUGGAAGACGCCUUCCGCAAUAACUCCCAAGGUACAUAUAUUCGGCCUCCGGAUGCCGAUAACCUAAGUCACAUCAUCCAACGGCUCGGGGAGUCUGCCAGGAAGCUCUGGACUAUGUUCUUAAUCAGAAAUAACCAAAUUGUCGAUUGUUCGGACGCCGAAGCCCUCGUGGCCUUUAAACAUAGCGUCCGAGAUGAGUGGCUCACCCGCCACCCUGGUCAAGAAAAACUAAGAUCCAUGGCUGCCCUUACCACUCUGAUGACCCGUUUUUGCGCGGAAGAAGAUAGCUGGCUCGCUCGUAGAAGCAACAACACCAAUGAUCCGGGCACUUCCGAAGUUCGAGAUGGCAACGGCAAGCCAUGACACAAUAAACACAAGCGUCACAAUAACAAUGCAGGAACGCAAGAUACUGCGGUCAACGCCGGAUUCAGUGGUUCCAAACCCGGUCAACGGAAAAAACCAUUCAAGGCCAACAGAGACAGACCAUUCAAUUUAGACAAGAUACUGGAUUGGCCCUGCCAGAUUCAUGGCACUCCCAUUAAACCAGCCAAUCACACCAACAGGAGCUGUUGGGUUUUCAAACAAGUCAGCAAGCUUAAUGCCGAACACAAGGCAAAGGGGCCGCCCAGUGACAAUGAUGACGAAGAGACUCGCGAGCCGAACACCGGGGGUCAGAAGCAAUUCCCUCCGAAGUAAAAACAGUGAACAUGAUAUACGCGAUGCACGUCCCUACAGGGGUCUGCAAGCGCGCGCUACGGGACGCCGACGCCAUAGAGCCAGCCACCCCAAAAUUAAACCAAUGGGCAGCCCGCCCGAUCACUUUUGGUCGCAAGGACGACCCGGCCAGUAUCCUUCACGAAGGUCCGGCAGCUCUCAUCCUUGAUCCAAUUAACGAUGGGCUCCAUCUCACGGAAGUCCUUAUGGACGGCGGCAAUAGUCUUAACCUACUUUAACAAGACAUUGUCCGCAAAAUGGGCAUUGAUCCCUCAAGAAUCAGGCCCACCACAACUACCUCCAAGGGAACAAUAUCCGGCGUAGAAGCUCACUGCACGGGCUCGAUUACAUUGGAAGUCAUUUUUGGCUCGCCGAACAACUUUUGAAGCGAAGCCUUGACCUUCGAUAUUGUCCCGCUCCGCAGUAGCUGCCAUGCACAACUCGCACGUACCACUUUUGCUCGUUUUAAUGCGGUCCCACAUUACACCUAUCUCCAACUUAAGAUGCCUGGUCCACGCGGCAUCAUCACGAUAAACAGAAAAUCAGAAUGCUCCCUCUAUACAUAGGAGCAUACUAUGGCUACUGUGGCCAAAGUAUCAAGCGGCCUUAUCAAGCUGCACAUUUCGUCGGCCAUCAAGCCGCCGGUCUUCAUUAGACAUGACCAAUCAAUCUCAGAGCUGAAUUAGCAGUUCGGCCUCCGCCAUCUGCCCCAUAUAAGUCGCGGAGUUUGUCCCACGCACAUAAUUAUACACUUAAAAUACCCUGGUCACCGACGGAGGCACAAUGCGGACAGUCCUAUAACACUAUCCGCACUCUCAUAUUCUUUUUUUCUUUUUGUAACCAUUUUUUAUCUUUUACCAUAGGUGACCAUAUUUGCUGAGAAGUCCUUUAACCAAGGCAAGGUAGCGCAAACGUGCGACAAGAGGUCCAAAUGUUUUUGUAGACCGCACUCUUUAUUUCAAUCCUAUAAAGUUCCCUUUUUCUCAGCUCUCGACCCCCGACACGCCAAAUAGCCUUGGUAGUACGUAUUCAGUAUUCGCUUUCCUCAAAGAACUGGAUGUCGCUUUCGUGGUUACUUCACGCAUGCACCUCGGCAUAUGUUGCCAGGGGCUCAAUAUGGCAACAUAUGAGUUACCGGCAAGUCUGAACAGCUUUAUAGCAUACUUCGGUGUCAUGAGUUUAGCCUUAUAUGCAUCAACUCUGAAUCAUGUCUUGGGUCAAUAGUUGGGUUGCCCGGCUCCUGUGCUUACUACCUUAUGUUCCGCUCUUGAUAUCCCGCAAGUAUACGGGAUCGCAACAGUUUUCGAUAAGUAAGAGUGUCGAACCCGACGAGGAGCUAAAGGUAGAAUAAAUAUUCCCUCAAGUUCUAUCGACCACCGAUACAACUCUACGCACGCUUGACAUUCGCUUUACCUAGAACAAGUAUGAAACUAGAAAUACUUUGUAGGUGUGAUAGGCUAGGUUUGCAAGACAAUAAAGAGCACGUAAGUAAAAAGUAGGGUCUUUUUAGAUAAAGACACAACUAAAGUAAGUAUUAGUAGAGAGCUUUUUGUUAUGAGAAAGUUAUUUGUCCAAGGCAAUCGAUAACUAGACCGGUAAUCACUGUUGCAAUUCUAUUUGAGGGAGAGGCAUAAGCUAACAUACUUUCUCUACUUGGAUCAUAUGCACUUAUGAUUGGAACUCUAGCAAGCGUCUGCAACUACUAAAGAUUCAUGAAGGUAAAACCCAACCACAACAUUAAAGUAUCAAGUCCCCUUUUAUCCCAUACGCAACAAUCCCCUUACUCGGGUUUGUGUUUCAGUCACUCAUGCAACCCACUAUAAGCGAAUCAUGAACGCAUUGCAACACCCUACAGUGGGAAUCCCUCAUGCUUGCGCGACACGGAGGGCACCAUAGGACAGCACCAAUAAUAAAACAUGCAACUCAAACCAAUCACGAUCAUCAAUUAACCCAUAGGACAAAACGGAUCUACUCAAACAUCAUAAGAUAGCCAUACAUCAUUGGGAAAUAAUAUAUAGAGUUGAGCACCAUGUUUAUGUAGAGAUUACAGCGGGUAAGAGAGAGGUUACACUGCUGCAUAGAGGGAGGAAGAGUUGGUGAUGAAGGCGGUGAAGUUGUUGGUGAAUAUCGCGGUGAUGAUGAUGGCCCCCGGCAGCGUUCCGGCGCCACCGGAAGCAAGGGGGAGAGAGCCCCCCUUCUUCUUCUUCUUAUUCCUUGACCUCCUCCCUAGAUGGGAGAAGGGUUUCCCCUCUAGUCCUUGGUCCCAUGGCUGGGAGGAGCGAGAGCCCCUCCGAGAUUGGAUCUAUCUCUCUGUUUCUACGUUCUUAGAUUCUACCCCUUCACCGUUUCUUAAAUAUCCUGAGAUCCGUAACUCUGAUUGGGGUGAAUCUUUCGCCCAGAUCUUUCUCAUAAAAUUAGCUUUCUUGCGCCAAAAGAAGAGCGUCAACCGCCUUACGGCUGGCCCACGAGAGCCCAGGCCGCGCCCAGGGGGGAGGGCGCGCCCCCCUGUCUCGUGGCCACCCCGGACACUGUUUCGCGUUGAUUUUACUUCCCAAAAAUCAUAAAUAUUCCAAAAAAAAUCUCUGUCCGUUUUUAUCCCGUUUGGACUCCGUUUGAUAUUGGGUUUCUGCAAAACAAAAAACAUGCAACAGACAGGAACUGGCACUGGGCACUGGAUCAAUAUGUUAGUCCCAAAAAUAGUAUAAAAAGUUGCCAAAAGUAUAUGAAAGUUGAAUAAUAUUGGCAUGGAACAAUCAAAAAUUAUAGAUAUGACGGAGACGUAUCAGCAUCCCCAAGCUUAAUUCCUGCUCGUCCUCGAGUAGGUAAAUGAUAAAAAAAAGAUAAUUUUUGAUGUGGAAUGCUACCUUGCAUAAUCUUGAUCAUAUGUCUAUUCAUGGCAUGAAUAUUAAGACACGAGUGAUUCAAAGCAAUAGUCUAUCAUUUGACAUAAAAACAAUAAUACUUCGAGCGUACCAAUAAAGCAAUCAUGUCUUUUCAAAACAACAUGGCCAAAGAAAGUUAUCCCUACAAAAUCAUAUAGUCUGGCUGUUGCUCUAUCUUCAUCACACAAAGUAUUUAAUCAUGCACAACCCCGAUGAUAAGCCAAGCAAUUGUUUCAUACUUUAGUAAUCUCAAACCUUUUCAACUUUCACGCAAUACAUGAGCGUGAGCCAUGGAUGUAGCACUAUAGGUGGAAUAGAAUAUGAUGGUGGGGUUUAUGUGGAGAAGACAAAAAAGGAGAAAGUCUCACAUCGACUAGGCGUAUCAACGGGCUAUGGAGAUGCCCAUCAAAAGAUAUCAAUGUGAGUGAGUAGGGAUUGCCAUGCAACGGAUCCACUAAAGCUAUAAGUGUAUGAAAGCUCAAACUGAAACUAAGUGGGUGUGCAUCCAACUUUCUUGCUCAUGAAAACCUCGGGCAUUUGAGGAAGCCCAGCAUCGGAAUAUAUAAGCCAAGUUCUAUAAUGAAAAUUCCCACUAGUAUAUGAAAGUGAAAGCAUAGGAGGCUCUCUCUAUGAAGAACAUGGUGCUACUUUGAAGCACAAGUGUGGUAAAAGGAUAGUAACAUUGCCCCUUAUCUCUUUUUCUCUCAUUUUUUUUCUUUUAUUUUUCAUUUUUUUAAAUUUCUUUCUUUCUUAUUUUUUUCUUUUUGGUGGGCUUCUUUAGCCUCUUUUUUUAUUUGGGCUUCUUUGGCCUCUUUUAUUUUUUAUAAAGUCCGGAGUCUCAUCCCGACUUGUGGGGGAAUCAUAGUCUCCAUCAUCCUUCCUCACUGGGGUAAUGCUCUAAUAAUGAUGAUCAUCACACUUUUAUUUACUUACAACUCAAUAUCUAGAACAAAGAUAUGACUCUAUAUGAAUGCUUCCGGCGGUGUACCGGGAUGUGCAAUGAUCUAGCAUAGCAAUGACAUAAAAAAAACGGACAAGCCAUGAAAACAUCAUGCUAGCUAUCUUACGAUCAUGCAGAGCAAUAUGACAAUGAAUGCUCAAGUCAUGUAUAUGAUGAUGAUGGAAGUUUCAUGGCAAUAUAUCUCAGAAUGGCUAUGGAAAUGCCAUGAUAGGUAGGUAUGGUGGCUGUUUUGAGAAAGAUAUAAGGAGGUUUAUGUGUGAUAGAGCGUAUCAUAUCACGGGGUUUGGAUGCACCGGUGAAGUUUGCACAAACUCUCGAGGUGAGAAAGGGCAAUGCACGUUACCGAAGAGUCUAGCAAUGAUGGAAGGGUGAGAGUGUGUAUAAUCCAUGGACUCAACAUUAGUCAUAAAGAACUCAUAUACUUAUUGCAAAAAUCUACAAGCUAUUGAAAACAAAGUACUACGCACAUGCUCCUAGGGGGAUAGAUUGGUAGGAAAAGAAAAGACCAUCGCUCAUCCCCGACCGCCACUCAUAAGGAAGACAAUCAAUAAAUAAAAUUGUGCUCCAACUUCAUCACAAAGCGGUUCACCAUACGUACAUGCUACGAGAAUCACAAACCUCAACACAAGUGUCUCUACAAUCCACAACCACCCACUAGCAUGACUCUAAUAUCACCAUCUUUAUAUCGCAAAACUAUUGCAAGGAAUCAAACAUAUCAUAUUCAGCGAUCUACAAGUUUAUGUAGGAUUUUAUGACUAACCAUGUGAAUGACCAAUUCCUGUCAUCUCUCUAAAUAGAUAUAAGUGAAGCAAGAGAGUUUAAUUCUUUCUACAAAAGAUAUGCCCACGCUCUAACAAGUAUAAGUGAAGCAAAAGAGCAUUCUACAAAUGGCAGUUUUCUAUGUGAAGAGAAACAGGCAAUCCAAACUUCAAAUGAUAUAAGUGAAGCACAUGAAGCAUUCUAUAAAGCCAUACUCAAAAGAUUUAAGUGAAGUGCAAUGAGCAUUCUAUAAAUCAACCAAUGACUAUCUCAUACCAGCAUGGUGCAUAAAAGAAAAAUGAAAACUAAAUGCAAAAGACGCUCCAAGACUUGCACAUAAUGCAUAAACGAAACGAAUACGAAAACAUACCGAUACUUGUUGAAGAAAGAGGGGAUGCCUUCCGGGGCAUCCCCAAGCUUAGACACUUGAGUCUGCUUGAAUAUUUACUUGGGGUGCCUCGGGCAUCCCCAAGCUUGAGCUCUUGCCUCUCUUCCUUUUCCUCAUAUCGAGACCUCCUCGUUUAGACACUUCAUCCACACAAAACUUCAACAGAAAACUCGGUAAGAUCCGUUAGUAUAAUAAAUCAAAUCACCACUCUAAGUACUAUUGCAAACCAAUUCAUAUUUUGUUUUUGCAUUGUGUCUACUGUAAUAUAACUUUUCCAUGGCUUAAUCCACUAAUAUAAAUUGAUAAAUUCAUCAAAACAAGCAAACUAUGCAUCAAAAACAGAAUCUGUCAAAAACAGAACAGUCUGUAGCAAUCUGAACAUCCACCAUACUUCUGGUACCCCAAAAAUUAUACCAAAAUUAGGAAAAAUAAACAAGUUGUAUAUAAAGACAGUGCAAAAGGAAUCAAAACCAAUUGACGUCGCGCACUACAAACAAAGUUUCUGUCCUGCACCGUACAAACCAACAAGCAUUGUAAACAUUAUAAAGGCAAACCUUGGCACAUUAUUUUUAUAAUACAAUGGAAUUAUACAAGGGAUAAUUAUUUUUGAUGAAAAGUUUCUGUAAUCAAGAUUCACAAAGUUUCCAUGAGCAUGAACAAAGUUCAAGGCUAGCUCCCACUUCAACAAUGCUUGUCUUUCUCACUUUCACUUUCCUUUUUGAAAAGUUUUUAGGUUCCCCUCUUUAUUUUUUUGUUUUUAAAUUAUAUGAAAGCACUCAACGGAAAUAAAUGACUCUCUAAAACUUCCGGGUUGUCUCCCUGGCAGCGCUUUCUUUAAAGCCAUUAAGCUAGGCAUUUAGUGCUCAAGUAAUGGAUCCACCCGGAUCCCAAGGUAUAUCAAAGCCAAUUUUAAUUAACAAUGAUUUGCAAUUUAGUAGUGAGCACAAAGUAAUAUAUAUCAUGCAACAACGAAGUCUAACUCUCUUCCUAUGCAUCAGCAUGUCAUAAAGAACAAUUCAUGCACACCAAGUAAAGGCCAAUGCAUAGUAUAAGCAGUUUCUUGCAAUUUCAUCGUUUGGGAAACAUAGAGAGGUGAAGAUGUAGUUCCUCUCUCAUAAUAAUUGCAAGUAGGAGCAGCAAGCACAUGCAUAUUACAUUCAUCAAAAUCAUCAUGUGCAAUGGUAAAAGACAACCCAUCAAUAUAAUCCUUAAUAAGCACAAACUUCUCCGAUAUAGUGUAGGUAGGAGAAUUCAAAAAGAUAAUAGGACUAUCAUGCGUGGGUGCAAUAGCAACAAUUUCAUGUUUAACAUAAGGAACUAUAGCAAGUUCAUCUCCAUAAGCAUAAUUCAUAUUGGCAUCUUGGCCACAAGCAUAACAAGCAUCAUCAAAAAGGGAUAUUUCAAACAAAUUCAAGGGAUCAUAGCAAUCAUCAUAGCAAUCAUCCUUCGAUAAGCACGAAGGGGAAUUAAAUAAUGUAUGAGUUGGAGGGUUACUCUCAUUAGAAGGUGGGCACGGGUAGCUAAUCCGCUCUUCCUCCUUUUGUUCUUCGCUCUCCUCAUCAUCUUUUUCAUCCAAUGAGCUCACAGUUUCAUCAAUUUCUUCUUCCAUAGCUUCCUGCAAAAUAUUAGUCUCUUCUUGGACAACAGAGAAUUUCUCAAUAUAUGGUUUAACAUUGGCAUUAGAAGCAUAAUUAUCAUAACAAUAUUCAAGUAUGGCAAAACUUUCAGAUUUGUAAAGAGUAGCAUCAUACUUUUCAAUCAAAGAAGCAAUUUCAAAAGCACCCUUAAAAGCAACAAAUUCUUCAAUUUGUUGAACAUCAUAGUAAUUAUAAACACCCUUAGCAUACGAAGAUAUGAUUCCAUUAUCAAUGAACUCACAUUGGUAGGGAAGGUGUUUCUUAGGGUUUUCAGAACGACAAGUAACAUCAUAAAUUUCACAUAAAUUCCAAGCAUAGCAUUGCAAACGUUGAAUUUGGUCCCAUAAUAGUUUCCCUUUUUCAGAUAUACGGUGUUGCACAUAACAAGCAUGCUCAUCUAAAGAUUUGCCCUCAACUAAGCUAGUUGGGGUUUCAGCACGAGCACAUAGGGAUCUAAGAUGAUCCAAGUAAAAAGCUUCAGUAGUGUGAUAGAUUUUGAGUGGUUCUUCAACCAUUGGAGCAGUAGGUACAACUAAUUUUUUUGGUAUUUUGCGUUUCCUACCCAUAGCUAAAGAUAGAAAACAACUGAGAACAACAAAUAAAAAUUACUUAGUGAUAAAGCAAACAAGCACACACGAGAAUAUUCACCCCACGCUAUGACUCCCCGGCAACAGUGCCAGAAAAAGGUCUUGAUAACCCGCAAGUAUACGGGAUCGCAACAUUUUUUGAUAAGUAAGAGUGUCGAACCCAACGAGGAGCUAAAGGUAGAAUAAAUAUUCCCUCAAGUUCUAUCGACCACCGAUACAACUCUACGCAUGCUUGACAUUCGCUUUACCUAGAACAAGUAUGAAACUAGAAAUACUUUGUAGGUGUGAUAGGCUAGGUUUGCAAGACAAUAAAGAGCACGUAAGUAAAAAGUAGGAGCUGUUUAUAUAAAGACACAACUAAAGUAAGUAUUAGUAGAGAGCUUUUUGUUAUGAGAAAGUUAUUUGUCCAAGGCAAUCGAUAACUAGACCGUAAUCACUGUUGCAAUUCUAUUUGAGGGAGAGGCAUAAGCUAACAUACUUUCUCUACUUGGAUCAUAUGCACUUAUGAUUGGAACUCUAGCAAGCGUCUGCAACUACUAAAGAUUCAUUAAGGUAAAACCCAACCAUAGCAUUGAAGUAUCAAGUCCCCUUUUAUCCCAUACGCAACAAUCCCCUUACUCGGGUUUGUGUUUCAGUCACUCACGCAACCCACUAUAAGCGAAUCAUGAACACAUUGCAACACUCUACAGUGGGAAUCCCUCACGCUUGCGCGACACAGAGGGCACCAUAGGACAGCACCAAUAAUAAAAUAUGCAACUCAAACCAAUCACGAUCAUCAAUUAACCCAUAGGACAAAACAGAUCUACUCAAACAUCAUAAGAUAGCCAUACAUCAUUGGGAAAUAAUAUAUAGCGUUGAGCACCAUGUUUAAGUAGAGACUACAGCGGGUAAGAGAGAGGUUACACCGCUGCAUAGAGGGAGGAAUAGUUGGUGAUGAAGGCGGUGAAGUUGUUGGUGAAUAUCGUGGUGAUGAUGAUGGCCCCCGGCAGCGUUCCGGCGCCACCGGAAGCAAGGGGGAGAGUGCCCCCCUUCUUCUUCUUCUUCUUCUUAUUCUUCCUUAACCUCCUCCCUAGAUGGGAGAAGGGUAUCCCCUCUGGUCCUUAUCUCCCAUGGCGUGGGAGGGGCGAGAGCCUCUCCGAGAUUGGAUCUGUCUCUCUGUUUCUGCGUUCUCAGAUUCUACCCCUUCACCGUUUCUUAAAUAUCCGGAGAUCCGUAACUCCGAUUGGGGUGAAUCUUUCUCCCAGAUCUUUCCCAUAAAAUUAGCUUUCUUGCGCCAAAAGAAGAGCGUCAACCGCCUUACGGCUGGCCCACGAGAGCCCAUGCCGUGCCCGGGGGGAGGGCGCGCCCCCCUGUCUCGUGGCCACCCCGGACACUGCUUCGCGUUGAUUUUACUUCCCAAAAAUCAUAAAUAUUCCAAACAAAAUCUCCAUCCAUUUUUAUCCCGUUUGGACUCGUUUGAUAUUGGGUUUCUACGAAACAAAAAACAUGCAACAGACAGGAACUGGCACUGGGCACUGGAUCAAUAUGUUAGUCCCAAAAAUAGUAUAAAAAGUUGCCAAAAGUAUAUGAAAGUUGAAUAAUAUUGGCAUGGAACAAUCAAAAAUUAUAGAUACGACGGAGACGUAUCAUCCGCUCUACCAGCCAGGGUAGUAAAGGGAGAACUAUUGCGAUUGUGUCCUGGUUCAUCCGGAUGAGCACCCCAGUAGAGAAAGCCGAAAACUGACUGUCAUGAUGCGGCAAGAGAUGGUCAACCACUCGAUGACUCACCGGAAUCUUUGCGAUUCCUUCUGUAUUACAUGUAGGACCGUUCUUGUGGUCACGUAUGUAAAUGCACCAUACUCGGGUAAGUGCGUACAUACCAGGGGCUAUAUCGUAGACCCACCCCCAAACUCAGAUGGCUAAGUGAAAGUGUUAAAGCCCUAUAGUCUGAUUGCCUGGUUCGCCGCAUUGGCACCUCCUUAAUGGACCAAGACGUUGGGUCAAGAGUGAUCAAGUGCUUUUCCGAACACCCCCGCGUUAUAUGCGAGGGGGCAGAAGCUGACGACUGGCAAACUUCCAGAUUACACAAAAAACGGCUGCACAAGAGGCACCAAAAACUUAUUAGGCAAAAGUAUAAAAUACAUAGCCUUAAAUAUAUCAUAAUAUUGUUUUUACAAUUUCGGUCCACUUCACUCGAACAUAAUAUCUUUCAAGCACUGACCCUCUAUCAAGCAGGCACCCUCUAGGACAUCCUCAAAAUAAUGCUCCGGCGUGUGAUGGUCCUCACCCUUGGUUGGACUUUUCGCUGCAAUAUCGGUGGCCUUCAUCUUCGCCUAGUACAUCUUGACGCGGGCAAGGACCAUCCGUGCAUCUUCUAUGCGCGUGGACCGCUUAACAACAUUGAUACGAGGCACCACAUCAACAAGUCGCUGCACCAAACCAAAAUAACUAUUCGGAAUUGGCUUAGUCGGCCAUAGCCGGACCACGACGUCCUUCAUGGCAGAUCCGGAUAUCUUGUGGAGCUCGGCCCACUGGGCCAUCUGUUCAUUCAGCAACAGCGGACACUUUGGCAUACUGAAUUGCGACCAGAAAAGCUUUUCCGUCGCAUGUCCUUCUUGCGCUUGGAAAAACUGCGUCGCAUCAAAGGCACUCUUCAGCAAGUCCAAAAAUGCAUCUGGAGAACUGCACAUUUGAUUAAGCGGGGCAUACUUUGGAUCGCUGAAUUUAGUUUGUAUCAAGAAGGGCUUACCAGCCGCGAUCUCCCCAGCUUGUCGGAUCUCCUCCCGAGCCGCUCUAGACUCGGACCGCGCUUCCCUCGCCUCUUGUAAGGCCUUGUUAAGAUCGGCCGCUCUGGUUUUGUUAUCUUUCUCGAGGAAUUCGCAUUGGCUCGUGGCAUCUUUUAGCUCAAGCGCCAUGGUAGAUAUUCUCUCCUCGCACUGGCGCCGAGCAGCCUGUUCGGCCUUUAAUUCAGUAGCUGCCUUUUCGGCAGCGGCAUUACUCAUCCUGGCUUGCUCCUUGGCCUGGGCAAGCUCAGCUCGAAGGGUAUCAACUACGGUGGCACUAUCUGCAGUUAUGCAUAUCUUAGUAUACAAUUCUCAGCGUCAUGCUGCUAUUAUAGUACUUGCAUAUACUGACUGCCCCAAAAACAUACCUUGCGCCUCAUCGAGCCGCCUAUUAAUAAGCGUGAUGUCAUCAUCCGCCGCAUCAAGCUUCUACUUCAAAUCUACAACCUCUGCAGCUUGGGCAGUCGCCAGGUAUGUAACCGCCUAUGUUCCAAUUAGUCAGAUUAUUUCCUACGCAUAUCUUUCUUGAUCCUCUGAUUGCCUCCCUUUGGACGCCAACCAGAGUCUCAAGGGCUACUAUCUAAACUCAGGCGCAUUUUGCAUUUAUCGCACAAUUGAAAAUAUUACAUUACAUACCUCGAAGUCUCUUAGCAGGCCCGUAAAGGCUUCAUUCAAUCCGCUUUUUGCAGACAGAACCCUUUCAACCAUCAUACCCAUCAGGGUACGAUGUUCCUCUAAGAUGGGCGCACGUCGCAAUGUGUCCAUCAAUGUAUCCGACACCUCUGGAUCCCUGGAAGCAGCUGAAGGGGUACGGACUCCCUUCAAAGGAAUAUGUUUGCUCGACCUUAGAGUCAUCUCGGGCUGUAAAUCGGAUAGCCCGGGGCCUUUAUUGUUGGUCCCCGUAGGGGCCGCACACCCCGGACCCUGGACAACCAAAGUAUCACCUUCGGGCCUAGUCUUCAUUGUCCCUCGCACCGCUUGUUGACCGGGAAAGAUCCUCCGGGACGACACCUUAGGGUCGUCUGCCCUAUUGGGCGGGGAGAUCUAUGGAGGCAUCUCGCUCUCCACCAUCUCCGGAAGAAGAUCCCCCAAAGAGGAGUACUGUUGAGGAAGGCUGCAUGCCGGACUGCAAACAUAUGUUUUAAAUAUUAUCCUUACAGCUAGGAAAGGACGGGAUAUGUUUAAAAACACCCUUGUUCACUUAUGAUUCAGCCAAGGGCCUGUCCUUGUAGAGGGACAGCGUGACAACGUUGCCUCUCGAACCAGAACCCCCUGACAGGCAUAUCUUCCCUCGCUUAGAAGCCUUUAUCUUCAAGUCUUCGGAGGCGGUCCUCUUCUUCCCAUGAGGAGAAGGGAUGUCAGUUUCUCCUUCCCUUUCAUCUUCGGAAGAGGGAGUUCCAAUCUCCCCGGAAGAGGCAUCUGGUGUACCUCUAGAAUGGGGGCCACCCUGGGCCUUCUUACUCUCCUCUUUGUCUUCCCUCGCCGACACUUGAUAUGGUGCCGGAGCCAGCAUCCUUGUUAACACCGGAUCAGCUGAGUCUUCGGGAAGAGGGGCCGAACACCUAAUUCUCUCCGCCUUCUUUAUCUAGCCCUGGUCGAGUAUGGUUUUCUCAGUAUAUUGCUACGAAAAAUUUAACUAAGCUGUGUUUGGGAGUCGAGUGCUUACCGAGGUAUCCGGAUGGUUGCAGUCAAGGCCGAUGUCCUCUGUAGUAUCCGGACACUAUUUUCGUGUCCUGAAGAAUAAUUUCCACAUUCCUCUGAGCGUCAUGCCGGAGAAGUGUUGAAGGGUUCAUGGUCCUUCUGGAUUGAACUCCCACAUGUGGAGAGGCCGUCGCUGGCACGGUAGGACCCGACGGACUAGCAUUACUUGGAUUACGUUGAUAAGGCCGGUGUCCUUUGCAAUGAGGCUCGGAAUGUGGCUUUGCAGCAUCUGCACUUUAUCAAUUGAUCCCCAUUCCAACCCCUUAUUAAUCCAUGAUGCAAGCUGUAAUGAAGGGCCAGGUUGGAACGCAGGUGUAGCUGCCCACUUGGUACCACGGGGUUCAGUGAUGUAAAACCACUCCCGCUGCCAUAGGUCAGAAGUUUCUACUCCCUCCGUUCCAAAAUAGAUGACCCAAAUUUACACUAACUAUAGUAUAAAGUUGUGUCAUCUAUUUUGGAACGGAGGGAGUAUGAAGGAGCCCUUUGGCCAAGGAGUAUCAGUGAGUUUGCUCACUGCACCACCGCCGCACUCCGCUUGUUUCCCGUUGACUACCUUCAGCUUCACGUUAAAGGUCUUGAGCCACAAGCCGAAGUGUGGGGGAAUACGGAGGAAGGCCUCGCAUGUAAUAAUGAACGCUGAGACGUGAGGAAAGGAGUCCGGAGCUAGAUCGUGAAAAUCUAGCCUAUAAUAGAACAUGAGCCCUCAAACGAAGGGAUGAAGAACAAACCCUAGCCCUCAGAGGAAGUGGGAGAUGAAUACGACCCUCUCGCCGGAUCUGGGAGUAGGAAUAAUCUGCCCUUGAGCAGGAGGCCUGUGGGGUAUUUCCGCGGUCAGGUAUCUUGCCUGCCGGAGCUUCGUGAUAUCCUCCUCGGUGACAGAGGAAGCCACCCACCGACCUUGGGGGCUAGGUCCGGACAUGACUGGGAAGCACGAAGCAAUUAAAUUGAACCUUGGGUGGUGGAACUCGGGGUGGGAGAGGUUGAGGAAAGGAUUGGCGUAAAGGAGAGAAGACAGGUUCUAGCCCCUUUAUAAAGGCGAUGAUUAUCAAACGCCCCCUCCUAGGCCUUAAAACCUACCUAUUCCCAAGGAAUCAUGCCAACGGAACGGUUGGGUUACCCACACCCAUAUCAAUGAGAAUCCUGCAAUAAGGGGCGCGAUCUCUGCUUUGACAAGACAUGCCAAUGAAACCACAUCUGGAAAUAUGGAGCAGCAGGCUAAAAACGGUUUGAAAUAAAGGCCGGGCGGCGACGUGAUGUCACGCUAUAAAAAGUUGUCAGCGGAUUGGACUAGUGAAAUAUUAUACUGGUUGUGUGUGGAAUUUGUUUUGUAGAGCCGGACACGUUUCUUGUGUUCAAAGACUAUUUUGGAGUAUUCGGAGAAGGAAUCCGCCUUGCAAUGCCGAAGACAAUCUGCGCGCCGGACACCUCAUCAUUGAAGCCUAGUUCAGGGGCUACUGAGGGAGUCCUGGAUUGAGGGGUCCUCGGGCUUCCAAACUAUUGACAUGGGCCGGACUGAUGGGCUAUGAAGAUACAAGACAAAAGACUCUCUCCCAUGUCCGGAUGGGACUCUACUUGGCAUGAAAGGCACGCUUGGCGACUCGAUAUGAAGAUUCCUUUCUCUGUAACUGACUUUGUACAACCCUAGUCCCCUCCGGUGUCUAUAUAAACUGGAGGGUUUAGUUCGUAGGGUAGGAUCAUAAUCAUUUAGGCUAGACUUUUAGGGUUUUAGCCAUUACGAUCUCGUGGUAGAUCCACUCUUGUAAUACUCAUAUUUAUCAAGAUCAAUCAAGCAGGAAGUAUGGUAUUACCUCCAUAGAGAGGGCCCAAACCUGGGUAAACAUCGUGUCCCCCGCCUCCUGUUACCAUCAACCUUAGACACACAGUUCGGGACCCCUACCUGAGAUCCACCGGUUUUGACACUGACAACGGGCGUGAGUCUGAAAUACCAAUUUUAGUUCUUGGAACAUCUCAUAUGCUCUGUGGAGUUUCAAAACGUCUUCUGAAGUCCCGGUUCUAAGCCGUAAAGCAUGGUGCACUAAACUAUCAAGUAGUCAUCAUUUUGAGCUAGCCAAACGUUCAUAACGUCUUCAUCUGCUCCUGCAAUAGGUCUGUCACCUAGCGGUGCAUCAAGGACAUAAUUCUUUUGUGCAGCAACGAGGAUAAACCUCAGAUCACGAACCCAGUCCGCAUCAUUGGUACUAUCAUCUUUCAACUUAGUUUUCUCUAGGAACAUAUUAAAAAACAUAGGGAAGCUACAACGCGAGUUAUUUAUGUACAACAUAAUUUGCAAAUACUAUUAGGACUAAGUUCAUGAUAAAUUAAAGUCCAAUUAAUCAUAUUACUAAAGAACUCCCACUUAGAUAGACAUCCCUUUAGUCAUCUAAAUGAUCACCUUAUAAAUAUCAACUAAACCAUGUCCAAUCAUCACGUGAGAUGGAGUAGUUUUCAAUGGUUAACAUCUCUAUGUUGAUCAUAUCUACUAUAUGAUUCACGUUCGACCUUUCGGUCUUAGUGUUCUGAGGCCAUAUCUGCAUAUGCUAGGCUCGUCAAGUUUAACCCGAGUAUUCUGCACAUGCAAAACUGGCUUGCGCCCAUUGUAUGUGAACGUAGAGCUUAUCACACCCGAUCAUCACAUGGUGUCUCGGCACGAUGAACUGUAGCAAUGAUGCAUACUCAGGGAGAACACUUAUACCUUGAAAUUUAGUGAGGGAUCAUCUUAUAGUGCUACCGCCGUACUAAGCAAAAUAAGAUGCAUAAAAGAUAAACAUCACAUGCAAUCAAAAUAUGUGACAUGAUAUGGCCAUCAUCAUCUUGUGCCUUUGAUCUCCAUCUCCAAAGCACUGUCAUUAUCUCCAUUAUCACCGGCUUAACCCUUGAUCUCCAUUGUAGCAUCGUUGUCGUCUCGCCAACUAUUGCUUCUACGACUAUCACUACCGCUUGGUGAUAAAGUAAAUCAAGUACAUGGCGAUUGCAUUUCAUACAAUAAAGCGACAACCAUAUGGCUCCUGCCAGUUGCCGAUAACUCUGUUACAAAACAUGAUCAUCUCAUACAAAAAUUUAUAUCACAUCAUGUCUUGACCAUAUCACAACACAACAAGCCCUACAAAAACAAGUUAGACAUCCUCUACUUUUUUGUUGCAAGUUUUACGUGGCUACUACGGGCUCCUAGCAAGAACCGUUCUUACCUACGCAUCAAAACCACAAUGAUUUUUCGUCAAGUGUGUUGUUUUAACCUUCAACAAGGACCGACCGUAGUCAAACUCGAUUCAACUAAAGUUGGAGAAACAGACACCCGCCAGCCCCGUGUGUGCAAAGCACGUCGGUAGAACCAGUCUCAUGAACGCGGUCAUGUAAUGUCGGUCCGGACCACUUCAUCCAACAAUACUGUAGAAUCAAAGUAAGAUGUUGGUGGUAAGCAGUAUGACUAUUAUCGCCCACAACUCUUUUGUAUUCUACUCGUGCAUAUCAUCUACGCAUAGACCUGGCUCUGAUUCCAUUGUUGGGGAGCGUAGCAUGCAAUUUCAAAAAAAUUCCUAUGAUCACGCAAGAUCUAUCUAGGAGAUGCAUAGCAACGAGAGGGGAAGAGUGUGUCCACGUACCCUCAUAGACCAAAAGCGGAAGCGUUAGUUAACGCGGUUGAUGUAGUCGAACGUCUUCACAAUCCAAUCGAUCCAAGUACCGAAUGUAUGGCACCUCCGAGUUCAGCACACGUUCAGCUCGAUGACGUCCCUCGAACUCUUGAUCCAGCAGAGGGUCGAGGGAGAGUUUUGUCAGCAUGACGGCGUGGUUACGGUGUUGAUGAUGUGAUCCGCACAGGGCUUCGCCUAAGCACUACGAUGAUACUAUCGGAGGAGUAAACAGUGGAGGGGUGCACCGCACAUGGCUAAGACAAUGUUGUGUCUUUGGGGUGCCCCCUACCCCCAUAUAUAAAGGAGAGAGGAGGAGGCCGGCCACCAGGGGCGCGCCAAGGGAGGGGGGAGUCCUACUAGGACUCCACUCCUAGUAGGAUUCACCCCUCCUCUUUUUUCCUUCUUACGAAGGUGGAAAGGGGGAAGGAGAGGGAGUAGGAGAAGGAAACGGGGGUGGCGCCCCCUUUCCCUAGUCCAAUUCGGCCUCCUCCCAUGUGGGGGGCGCACCAGCCCCUUGUGGGCUGGUUAGCCUUCCUUCCAUGGCCCAUAUGGCCCAUAUGUUCCACCGGGGGGGGGGUCUGGUAACCCUUCCGGUACUCCGGUUUGUACCGGAUACACUCUGGAACCCUUUCGGUGUCUGAAUACCACCUUCCAAUAUAUCAAUAUUUACCUCUCGACCAUUUCGAGACACCUCGUCAUUUCCGUGAUCUCAUCCGGGACUCAGAAGAAACUUCGAUCAUCAAAAAUACAUAACUCAUAAUGCAAAUCAUCAUCAAACAUUAAGCAUGCGGACCCUUCGGGUUCGAGAACUAUGUAGAGAUGACCGAGACACAUCUCCGGUCAAUAACCAAUAGCAGAACCUGGAUGCUCAUAUUGGCUCCUACAUAUUCUACGAAGAUCUUUGUCGGUCAAACCGCACAACAACAUACGUUGUUCCCUUUGUCAUCGGUAUGUUACUUGCCCGAGAUUCGAUCAUCGGUAUCAUCAUACCUAGUUCAAUCUCGUUACCGGCAAGUCCCUUUACUCAUUCUGUAAUGCUUCAUCCCGCAACUAACUCAUUAGUCACAUUUCUUGCAUGGCUCAUAGUGAUGAGCAUUACCGAGAGGGCCCAGAAAUACCUCUCCGAUACACGGAGUGACAAAUCCUAUUCUCGAUCUAUGCCAACCCAACAAACACCUUCGGAGACACCUAUAGAGCAUCUUUACAAUCACCCAGUUACGUUGUGAUGUCUGAUAGCACACAAGGUGUUCCUCCGGUAUUCGGGAGUUGCAUAAUCUCAUAGUUAGAGGAACAUGUAUAAGUCAUGAAGAAAGCAAUAGCAAUAAAACUUAUGGGUCAUUAUGCUAAGCUAAUGAAUGGGUCUUGUCCAUCACUUCAUUCUCUAAUGAUGUGAUCCCGUUCAUCAAAUGACAACACAUGUCUAUGGUCAGGAAACAUAACCAUCUUUGAUUAACAAGCUAGUCAAGUAGAGGCAUACUAGGGACACUUUGUUUUGUCUAUGUAUUCACACACGUACUAAGUUUCCAGUUAAUACAAUUCUAGCAUGAAUAAUAAACACUUAUCAUGAUAAAAGGAAAUAUAAAUAACAACUUUAUUAUUGCCUCUUAGGGCAUAUUUUCUUCACCCCCCCUUCCAUAAUUGCUGGAGGGGGAAAAGGGAAGAGGAAGGAGAGAAGGAAAGGGUGGGCCGAAUCCCCUCUUUCCCUUCUCCCACUCGGCCUCCUUCCUUGGGGGGCGCACCACCCUUUGUGGGCUGGUGUGCUCCCCUCUUAUGGCCCAUAUGGCCCAUAUCUUUCCCUCGGGGGUUCCAGUAACCCCUCUGGUACUCCGAUAAAUACCCGAUAUACUCCGGAACACUUCCGGUGUCCGAAUACUAUCAUCCCAUAUAUCAAUCUUUACAUGUCGACCAUUUUAAGACUCCUUGUCAUGUCCACGAUCUCAAUCGGGACUUAGAACAACAUUCCGUCACCAAAUUACAUAACCCAUAUAAUAUAAUAUCAUCAUCGAAUGUUAAGCGCGCAGACCCUACAAUUUCGAGAACUAUGUAGACAUGACCGAGACAACUCUCCGGUCAAUAACCAAUAGCGGAACCUAGAUGCUCAUAUUGGCUCCCACAUAUUCUACGAAGAUCUUUAUCAGUCGAACCGUUAUGACAACAUACAUUAUUCCCUUUGUCAUCGGUAUGUUACUUGCCCGAGAUUUGAUCGUCGGUAUCUUCAUACCUAGUUUAAUAUCGUUACCGGCAAGUCUCUUUACUCGUUCUGUAAUACAUCAUCCUGUAACUAACUCAUUUGUCACUUUGCUUGCAAGGCUUCUUGUGAUGUGUAUUACCGAGAGGGCCUAGAGAUACCUCUCUGAUACUCGGAGUGACAAAUCCUAAUCUCGGUCUAUGCCAACCCAACAAACACCUUCAGAGAUAUCUGUAGAGCAUCUUUAUAACCAGCCAGUUAGUUAUGAUGUUUGAUAGCACACAAGGCAUUCCUACGGUAUCCAGGAGUUGCAUAAUCUCGUAGUUGGAGGAAUAUGUAUUUGACAUGAAGAAAGCAAUAACAAUCAAACUGAACGAUCAUAAUGCUAAGCUAAUGAAUGGGUCUUGCCCAUCACAUCAUUCUCCUGAUGAUCUGAUCCUGUUUAUCAAAUGACAACACAUGUCUAUGGUUAGGAAGCUUAACCAUCUUUGAUGAACGAGCUAGUCUAGUAGAGGCUUACUAGGGACAGAGUAGUUUGUCUAUGUAUCCACACAUAUAUCAAGUUUCCGAUUAAUACAAUUCUAGCAUGAAUAAUAAACAUUUAUCAUGAAAUAAGGAAACAUAAAAUAACAACUUUAUUAUUGCCCCUAGGGCAUAUUUGCUUCAAGGCCGUGUGGUUGCGGAAGUGGUGAUGUGACAUGCCUCGUGUCCCUUCGUUGCAGACUGUUGCAGUAGGGGAUAAAACAGAUACCACCUAUAGGCUACGUCCACGGGGACCUUUUCCCCUUAAUCACUAUUUGGUAACCGGAGUGGGGAUGAAUGGUAGUGGCAUAUGUGAUACGGGACUGCCGAGAGUAUGCACGUAUCUACACCAGCACUGCCCACGAGAAAAACAUGCAAAUUGGCUUAGGAAUCCGAAGUAGCAUUGUGUCUAGGCACCGCUAUAGAUGCACACUAGAGGGGAUUCUGGACUCCCUGGGAACGCUAGAUACAUCUCCGACGUAUCUAUAAUUUUCGAUUUUUCCAUGCUAUUAUAAUAUUAAUCUUGGAUGUUUUAUAUGCAAUUAUAUGUGAUUAUAUAUUAUUUUUGGGACUAACCUAUUAACUUAGUGCCAAGUGCCAGUUGUUGUUUUUUACCUGCUUUUGGUUUUCCAGAAUAUUAGUACCAAACGAAGUCCAAAUGCAACAAAACUUUUUGGAGAUUUUUUCCAGACAUAAGAGACCAUGGAAGCUUCGGGAGAGGGCCAGAAGAUGAAGGAGGGCCCCACGAUGCACCAUGGCGUGCCCAGGGGGGUAGGCAUGCCCUAGUGGCUUGUGGGGCUCAUGAGCAUCCGUUUGACCUAAUUUCGCCUCUGUACAUUCUCUAAAAUCAUGAAACCAACAAAGAGCCACCCAAAACACUUUUGCCACUACCGCAAGCUUCUGUUCUUGCGAGAUCCCAUUGGGAGGCGCCUUUUCCGGUACUCUGUCGGAGGGGGAACCAACCACGGAGGGGCUCUACAUCAAUCUUGCUGCCCUUAUGAUGAUGUGUGAGUAGUUUACCAGAGACCUAUGGGUCCAUAGCUAGUAGCGAGAUGGCUUCUUCUCUCUCUUUGAUCUUCAAUACAAUGUUCUCCUUGAUGUUCUUGGAGUUCUAUUCGAUGUAAUCACUUUUUGCGGUGUGUUUAUUGGGAUCCGAUGAAUUGUGAGUUGAUGAUCAGAUUAUCUAUGAAUAUUUUUUGAGUCUUCUCUGAACUCUUUUAUGCAAGAUUAUUAUAGCUUUGUAUUUCUCUCCGAUCUAUUGAUUUGGUUUGGCCAAGUAUAUUGAUUUUUCUUGCAAUGGGAGAGGUGCUUUGUAAUGGGUUUAAUCUUGCUGUGAUCUAUACUCCACCGUUGCCGCCGUAGAGGAUUAUCAUCGAGUUAGGGUGAGAUUCGAUCUCCUCAUGCUUCUAUUUAUCUCAUUCAAUGCACAAGGAUUCUGCCUAGUAUCUUGCCACGUUUGAGAUUGAUCUAUCCGCCAAACAAAUUCGUUAGAAUAGAUUCGAAAAAAUUAGGGUUAGGUUUCCGCCGAACUCAUCUCGGACCAACUGAAAUGAAAUUUUUGGUCCACCGAUUGGCUCUGGCCAUUGCACAAGUACAAUUCGGUGCCACCGAAAUGUACUGAUCGGUGAGAUCAAAAGUAAAGUUUCUGUGAAACCCUAGCAUCCUGGAACCACCGAACCAGUCCAACCAAAAGUGUGUGUUUAGGCUCUGUAGGUGCUUCGGUGUCACCAAAAUGAUCAGACCGGUAGCUUCAAAAUGCUUUCUAUGGAAAACUAAAACUGAAGUUUGGACUCAAAUUUUUGAAAAACAAUCUGAUUUUUGUGAUAACUCAUCUACUCUACCCAUACCCAUCUAUUCACAGGGUCAGCUUUGCAAGAUGUCUAGUGCAAGUGACAGUCAGAACUAGUCAAAGCAGAAUGUUGAUCUGAGUGAGGGUUCAAGCCCUAGUGACAGCUAUGAUGAUGGCAGUAGGAGCACUCCAAGCAACUUGCCAAAGGUUGCCUCCAGAACAAGGAAGAAGAAAACCUUAGCAAGUGAGGAUGAGGACUUUGUUGCAGAUGAAGAGGUCACUUCCAAGAAGAAGGCAGUACUCAGAAAGGAGUAUGGCUCUACAGCUACCACUAAACCAGGUGCCAAGCAAAAGACUGUUGUUAGGAGAGUCCCAAUGUCAAAACCUCGGAAAACUUCGGCUCCACAAGAAACCAUGACCAUCAACUUGAGGAGUCAAGUGGUGAAUAAGAUGCUGCUGGUAAAAGGAAGAAGAGGGCUAGGAAAACCAUGACUACAGUGCUUGGCAAGUCUUCCAUGAGGGAAGAGGAAGAAGAGGAGGAGGAGGAACUUGUCGCACCUCCAGUUAAAACACAUAAGCUCAUGGCAGAUGCCAUGAAGACAUCUACUCCCUUCAAGCCCAAGUCAAAACCCAAAGUUUCUGCACCCAAGAGGUCUACAAGAAAUAUAUCAGUUGCUGAAAAGAACAAGGCCCGAGUGCCUGAAGUUAAGAUUGAUGAGUAGCCAAUAGUGCUUAGAACCAAGAUCCCGAAUCAUGACAAUGCACAUCCAGUUGCUGAAAACAUGAAGCUCGGGAAUGACAAGUGUCUGAGAGAAUGGAGGAAAGUGGAUCCAUAUUCAGUCAGGAGGAGGACAUCGUGUGAUUACCGCUUUCACACCUAUGAACAACAAGAUUUCUACAAGACAGUUUUGCUUGAUAAGAAGACCAUUGUUAGCGACAUGAAGUGGGUGAACUGGAAGUACAUCGAUGCAAAUGGAGACUACUUCCCCCAUGUUUAUGAGAGCUUUAGGCUUGCAGGUGUUGACAAGUUUGUUGGUCAGAAGCUACAAAGUGGAAUGAUGAGAUGAUCAUGUAGUUCUAUUCCACAACACACUUCUAUCCAGAUGGGAAGAUUGCAUGGAUGACUGAGGGACACAAGUACUAGUCAUCAAUCUCUGAGUGGGCUGCCCUCAUUGGUGCUCCUGAGGAGGAUAAAAAUGAUGUUGAUGUGUACGGGAAGCCCCAGAUGGACCACAACUCAAUGGUCAAUAUGUACAAGGAAAUCCCUCCCAAGGAUCUUGAGGGUCACAAACUUGGUCACGUGAGUCACUUGCUUGCUAGGUUGGCCACAACUAACAUGAUCUUGAGGCAUCUGCCCAAGCACGGAGAUGACAAGAUGAUACGUGGCCACUCCAUCAAUUUGCUUCACUUGUUUGAUUCCCCACCGCAAAAAAGUUCAAAGUUAUGAGUUUGAUAGUAGAGAUUGUCAAGAGGACAUCUGCUGACCAGAAAGGCCUUGUGGAUAUGCCCCACACAUUCAGAUGCUCGUCAACUCCCAAGUUGGGAUGAAGACAUAUCUACUUGACCGUGAGCACCUCCCUCUUUAGCCAGAGUUCGAGGACAGUGUAGUGGUGAUGGAUCCUUCACACUCUACAUUAGUUGAGGCUCAAGAGAAAGCUUAGGCAGCAGCAUCAAAGGC
This 78526-nucleotide long non-coding RNA is filed under the name Triticum aestivum (bread wheat). RNAcentral describes it as "long non-coding RNA (TAES_LNC016267)". The record is from RNAcentral. Lineage: Eukaryota; Viridiplantae; Streptophyta; Magnoliopsida; Poales; Poaceae.